This 45911-nucleotide long non-coding RNA is filed under the name Octopus vulgaris (common octopus). Lineage: Eukaryota; Metazoa; Mollusca; Cephalopoda; Octopoda; Octopodidae. The record is from RNAcentral.
UUUAAUUCAAUGUCGUUCUCUGUAUACUUGACCCCGGUACACUAGAGAUGGAAGGAUGCGUCCCAAGUAUUUUUAAUGGAUGUUGAAUAUGCCGGCACUGAUAUUAUCCAGCUAGAUUUAAGACAACAAGCCUAAGGACUCUUUAACUAUGCUAUUUUCGGAUACAUAAAAUGCUUGCUGCAAUGGAAGCAUUAUGAGCUUAGAGCUUGAGUAUCUAUCUAUUCGUCACUGUCAGUUUUCUCCCUGGUUCAAAACGAGGAUAUGUGCUAGCAUAAACAUUAGUGCUUAGAUUGAGGAGUACAUGUAUGGAAAAAAGGUGUGUAGGUAUGGGGGCUGGUUGUUUUUUUAUCUCUCUAUAUUUUCUAAUUUCUAAGUAAUUUCAUUCAUUUAUGAAUAAUGUUCGAAGCCGCAAACUGAAUUGUACAUCCACAAACUGAAUUGUCUUUCAAUGGGAGUAAAUUAAAGGGACGUAACUCUAAGAUUGGUCUAACAACCGCUCUGAAGAUGUCUACAUCAAAGUCAUUAUAUUUGGAUGGCAACCACAUGAAUUAUCUCCUUGCACAUGUUGAUACAUUUCUUUUCGACUGCGAUGGUGGGUAAAAUAUUAAAAAUAUUGUUUUAUCUGUCUUUAAACAAAGUGUUAUUUUAUUCCAGCUAUGUUAACAUGUCACAUUUAUCCUUUUUGUUUCACGUUUAUUUACAAGCAACUAUCUCGUCAUAUGUGAUCGUUUAUAUGGUCAUUGUAACUUUUUUAUGUUAUAUUUUGUUUCAUAUUAUUAUUAUAUUAUUAUCUAUAGGAUAAGGCAUUUCGAUCUCAAGACAAAUGUUACCUUAAUAAGAUUUUUAUUGUGUAAUGCAACAAGGUCAUUAAUUAGUACAUCAUUUACUAUACUCAUUCACCUUGAUGAUAUAUCUGUCGCAAUAUGUCUAACAAAAUAUCAUGAACAUUUAAUAUAAGUUCAAUACACAAAAGUGAUAAACACAGUAAACAGACUUUAUUCUGUCAAAAUUUAGAUUUCUGCUUACUGUGACGGCGUUGCCUUGAUCUAUGUUUCAAUGAGCGUCGACUUCACUCUACACAUUAAGCAUCUCUGCUAAAUUGCAUAUAAACUAUGUUGUUAUGGUAUUUUAUUAAAUCAAUAUUGUUGUUAUUCCCAAUAUUCUAAUAAAACUUUUUGAAAAGUGUUUCUUGGUGUGAGAAACUUUUGUCGCCGUGAGAGUGAAAAUCUAAUGUUUCGAACAUUAUUUGCCCUAUCCAGCAAUCAAAUUAAAAUCAUACAAGCGCUUUUUGUUAUCAUUGUUGGCAACCUAUUUCCUCGUAUUAUACACUAAUGACACAAUUGUAUAUCUAUCUUUAAACCUCUAAUUACAUCUCUACAGAAGAACUAAAAGGUUUGGGUGCUAUUGUUCAGUGUAUUUAAAAUCUGAUAUUUUUUUCACGGUCUUAACUAGCAAACUACGCCUUACGAAAAGUUAGUAGAUUGGAAAUCAACCACCACCAACCACUGCUAACAAAAACAAUAUCAACUCAACAGUCUGACUUCUUAAAGGAUUAGUAUUAAAUUAUGACUACACAACUCAGAUUUGAAUUGUGAAUGGAGAAUUUUGGAGAUAUGAAAAAAAAUUUCCAGCUCAUAGUUAAAUUGCCCCCCCACCCAACAGUAUGCUUCAGCAGUACUUUGGUAGACUUGUUAGCACAUUGGACAGAAUGCUUUGCAGUAUUUGUUCUGAUUCUGUGCUCUGAGUUUAAAUCCCGUUGAGGUCAACUUUGCCUUUCAUGCUUUCAGGGUUGAUAAAAAUAAAGUACUAUUCCAAGGUGAUGGAUUUGUGGAACUGUAAAACCAACGAAUCGGAUGCCUUGUUGUAUUUAUUCCAGCUCUUUACAUUCUUAGUUCAAAUCCCACUAUGACUUACUUGGGUGGUAGACUUAACCAUUGCCCAGUUUAAAAGCACCACCUGGUACCACGGGAGCCCUUAGCAGAGUCCACUCUGUUAUAAGCAUUUGGGCAGGCUUCCAGUUUGAAGAUGCUUUCCUCUCUUUCUUCCAUCAGUCUUGGAAGCCUUGUGGACACUGUCUUCCCUCCUGACUAAAAGAUAUAAAAAAGUUGUGUUCUGUUUACUUAUUAUCCCACUUGAAUGUGGGUGAGCUUACAGAUGUUAAAAGAAAUGAAAAAUAAUCCCCCUUUGUUCAUUAUUUCUGGAUUUUAUUGGUUUCUUUGAUGAGCCUUUAAUAAUCUGGUUGACUGUAUCUCAUAUAUGAAAUUGUAACAUUUAUUUUGUGUUUUACAUAAUAGUGUUAUGUGUAUAAUUUCUUGCAUUUUUGUAGGGCACAGAUGAUUAAAUCAGGUACAGUGUUUCACUGGUUGUUAGUUUAUUGCUUAAAAAAAGUUAAAAUAUAAAAAAAAUUAAGAUCAGAAUGUAAAGAGACAUGACUAGAUGCCAUUAAAAUUAUGUUCUUGUUUUCUACUGAUACUGCACAGUAAUAGAUAUAUAUAAUCAGGCAUGGCUGUAUGGUUAAGAAGUUUGAUUUGAAACCAUGUAGUCUUUAACCUUAAACUCAGUUCUGCACAGCAACUUGGGCAAGUGUCUCUAGAAUUACCUUGGAUUAGCUAGCACCUUGCAAGAGGAAUUGAUACUCACUAGUUGUAAUUCAGAAAGGCUGUAGAAACCAUACAAACGAAUACAUUGGAGCAUGAUGCAUUCUUCCAACACAUCCAAAUCUGUCACUCCAUCCAGCUUAAACCAGCAUGGGCGAUGGACAUUAAAAGGUGAUGAGGAAAUGUGUGUGUGUUACUUUACUGUAUAUAGAUGAUAUCAAUAUCAUCUAUAUGACUACCAAAGAAACCAAAAGGAGCACAAUGGAGAGCAUCCAACACAAAGCUAACUCCAUCCACCAAAGUAUCAGAGUAACUGUAGAUUACCAUACAAGACAGCCUAACAAUAGACCUGAUAAGGCAAACCAACAGGAUACUACUGCUCUUAAUAUUUUCCAGAAAUCUAGUAUAUCUAUGAUCUCAUUUAUUAAUCAGUAUAUUAUAGGUAUAAAUGAUAUCCAUAAUAGUGAAAACACUGGGAGUUGACUGGAGGACACUACCCUCAACCCUAGUGUGCCAUCUAAUAGUACAGCAUCCGUUCCAUAUAUGGGAGGCUCCUUUGUACUAGAUAGGUCUAGUUGCAACUGCAAAUCUAGGAAAUUGCAGAAGGUUUAACCUUGUCUACAAAUGCAUAGUUCAUAACACAUUUAACAGCUCUACUAGGUGCUAUAUAGGAUCCACACUUUCAAGCAUCGAUAUUUGACCCAUUUAAAUUCAUUUAAGUAUGAAGAGCAUAGCAAGUCUACCUCUCUAGCUGACCACAUGUAUUACUUUAAGAAAAAGAAAAUUCCUUACGGUAUAUUCUGAUCUAUAAGUGAUUCUGGUCUCCUAUGCCAGGGCCAGUGUACUACUUGUUGGCCAUUUUUAAAAGAAUCCUUACACUUACUGUUACAUAACCCUACACUGUUACUUAAUAAGCAGCAUGAAGCAUUCUCCACCUGUACACACAGAUUUUUUAAGUCCUUCAAAUUUUUCCAUAGAUCUAAAUUAAGAAAAACUAACACUUCUGAUUAUCACUAGCAUCUAACUUAGACAUUUUACCUAUUCAAUACUUCCACAUACAUGACUGUUUUUACCAUUAUUAAAUGAGCAGCACUAAACAUUCUCUCCACAUAUACAUAAACUCCUUAGUUCCAUUAAUAAUGUAUCUUCAUUAGUGCAGGCCUCAUUAAUAAUAUAUCUUCAUUAGUGCAGGCCUCAUUAAUAAUGUAUCUUCAUUAGUGUUAAUUUUUAAUUUUAUGAUUUUAACCUAAAGUUGAUUUUAAGUGUUAACUUUAUUUUAACUUUAAUUUAUUUUUUAAUUAUCUUUAUUUAUUUUCUUUAGUUAUCUGUCUUUAUUUUAGUUUUAUAACAUAUCUUAACUGUUUUAUACCACAAAUCUUAAAUCUUUUCUUUACUAGUUGACAUUUAGCUUAUCUUAGUGGGUAGACAACGCUACAUCUCCACCCUAGUAAGAUUUGACUACACACUAUACACUUGUCUUUUCUUUAUCUUCCUUAUGUUCACUUUAUUACCUACAAACCCACUCACCUCUCAUUGAUGCCCAGCCCUGUGGGUCUGGCAUCUGCCUUGUUUAUUUUCUCCCUUAUCUGUGGUCUUUACAUUUGCCUCCGCCACUCCAUCUCCAACUUAUUUUGCUGGGAAUACCAGUUUACUAGCCCUUUGCACUCCCUCUAAUUUCCCAAGAUAAAAAUACCUCCCAUUAUACUGCUUAGUAUAUAUCCACUACAAUGCCCUGAUCUAUUUAUCUAUCUAUCUUUCUCAUACCAGAAUUUAUUCUUUCCACUUCUCUCAGGAAUGAAUACUCUAGGAUAUCAUCAUCAUCAUUUAGCGUCCGCUUUCCAUGCUAGCAUGGGUUGGACGGUUCAACUGGGGUCUGGGAAGCCAGAAGGCUGCACCAGGCCCAGUCUGGUCUGGCAAUGUUUCUACAGCUGGAUGCCCUUCCUAACGCCAACCACUCCAUGAGUGUAGUGGGUGCUUUUUACGUGCCAGACGGGGCUGGCAAACGGCCACGGUCGGAUAGUGCUUUUUACGUGCCACGGGCACGGGGGCCAGGCGAGGCUGGCAACGGCCACGAUCGGAUGGUGUUUUUAUGUGCCACCGGCACUGGUAUCACAGCUGCAAUUUCCAUUGAUGUUGAUCGACUUCGAUUUUGGUUCUGAUUUCCAUUUGCCUCAACAGGUCUUCACAAGUGGAGUUUUGUGUCCCAAGAAGGAAAGGUAUGCAUAAGUCGACUGGCUACAUCCCAGGUAGAGGCCAUGGGUUAUAGUCUCACUUGUCCUGCUGGGUCUUCUCACGCACAGCAUACUUCCAUAGGUCUCGGUCUCUAGUCAUUUCCUUGGUGAGACCUAAAGUUCAAAGGUUGUGCUUCACCACCUCGUCCCAGGUUUUCCUGGGUCUACCUCUUCCACAGGUUCCCUCAACCGCUAGGGUGUGGCACUUUUUCACACAAGUAUCUUCAUCCAUUCUCGUCACAUGACCAUACCAGCGCAAACGUCUCUCUUGCACACCACAACUGAUGCUUCCUAGGUCCAACUUUUCUCUCAAGGUACUUACACUCUGUCGAGUAUGAACACUGACAUUACACAUCCAUUGGAGCAUACUGGCUUCAUUUCUUGCGAGCUUACGCAUAUCCUCAGCAGUCACGGCCCAUGUUUCACCACCAUGUAGCAUGGCUGUUCAUACACAUGCAUCAUACAGUCUGCCUUUUACUCUGAGCGAGAGGCCUUUUGUCACCAGCAGGGGUAAGAGCUCUCUGAACUUUGCCCAAGCUAUUCUUACUCUAGCAGUUACACUUUCAGCACACCCACUUGGUCACCUAGGUAACGGAAGCUAUCAACUACUUCUAGUUUUUCUCCCUGGAAUGUGGUAGAACUUGGUCUCUGCACAUUUUCAGUGUUUAUUGCUCCAGAGCAUCUGCCACAAACAAAGACUAUUUUCCUAGUUAGCCUUCCUUUGACAUUGCUGCACCUCUUACGUGUCCAUAGCUUACACUUGGUGCAUCUUAUAGAUAUACUGAAUAGUAUAUAUAUCUAAUACAAUGCUCUUACCUAUCUAUCUUUUCUUUCACCAGAAUGUAUUAUUUAUUCCUCCUCUCAGUAUUCACACAACUUCGGAACUGCUAGUAUUCAUUCUCUUUCUGGAAUGUUCUCAAUAUACUGAACAAUAUAUAUCUAAUACAAAAUUCUUACUUAUCUAUUUUUUCUCUCAUCAGAAUGUAUCUCUAUUCUUUCUCUCAGUACCCUUAUAGCCACAAAAAGCAUAAGUCUAUGUACUGACAGGGGAGAUAAUCAUCCCACAGUGAGUGAGGGAUGGCAAACUAGUUUUGCUUGGAAUUAAAGCUCAUUAGUAGUACUACUCCAUUGCUAAUUGUUAUGCUACAUCCUACCUGUCAGUAGAUAGUAUUUACCAUAGGAAUCAAUAGCUGAUUCAGUAAAAUAGUAAUCUGAAAAUUAUAAAAUGAUGAAGGUGGCUAGAUGAUAUAUGAAACUAAAAAGGAAAAAUUCAGUUGUCACUAAUAGUGACUGAGGGUGCUAGAAACAAGAGUCAAAGACCCUUAUAGCCACAAAAAGCACAAGUCUAUGUACUGGCAGGGGGGAUAACUGCUGUACAGCAAGUGAGGAUACUAUAUUGGCAAGCCAGUUUCACUUGAAAUUAAAGCUCAUCAGUAGUACCUCUGAAUCGGCUAUUGAUUCAUAUGGGGAAAUUGGCUUGCCUAUAUAGUACCCUUGCUUGCUGUGGAGUGGUUAUCUCCCCUGUCAGUUAUAGACUUGCACUUUUUGUGGCUAUAAUGGUCUUUGACUCUUGUUUCUAGCAUUGUAGGUGCUACCCUGCACCCUCAGUCACUAUUAGUGACAAUUAAAUUACAUAUAUAUAUGUACAUAUGUAAAGGUAAAAUCCAUGGAUCAAGGUGUAGGGAGUUAGUAAGCUUCAAGCAGUCUGUAGAAGGUAUAAAAAACAACUUUCAGGAACAAUAAUAGUUUAUUGACAUAGAAGGUUGUAAAUUUUUCCCGUAUCGAAGUUUGAUAAACUGAAAAAAGUUAUUUUAUAAUUCCCAGUUAGCAAUUGGGGUUGCUGUGUAUAUGAAUAAAAAUCUAAAUUUAGGGAAUGGAGUAGAUAAAAUCCAGGCUACAUAUGUUUCCUAGCAGAACCUCAGAAGUAGUAAUUACCCAAACGAGGGAUACUCCAUUAGCUACUCAUCAAGCCAAAGAUACCUUAGUCAAACGAAAAUUACAUUGUGGUCAAGGGGUUCCAUAUUAACUCGCAGAAGAUUUGAUUGAAAAUGCAUGGGGCGCAUAGAAGGAGAAAGCAAAAGGGAAAGUAUGUGUGAAGAAAUGAUGUAUGGGAGUGGGUAAAUGUCUAAAUUUGGUAAGAAAAAGAAUAAGAAUAUGAAUAAAGAAAAGAAGGGGAGAGUAGCGGAAAACUUUGGUAUUAUUGAGUCUGGCUAAGGGAAUGUUUGUGUAAAUUUAGGCUGGGGUCAUUUACUAUGUCUACUGUAGAAUAGAUAAAUAAAUAAAUAUAUUGUGGCACCCUGUAAAUACAUUUAAACAGAGUCAAAGAAAAAUGAAGGGGAAGAAUGUCAGUUGGAGGAGAGAAAGAGAAGGUUGUAGUCAGAAUUUGUUAGGAGAAGAGGGGAGAGAAGGCAAAGGAGGUGGAAGAUGUUUUUGGUCAGUAGGGGAACAUAGUAGUUCAUAUUGGAUAGGGAUGUUCUUUCUAACUAUCACCUUUGGACUGCUCAGACAUCCUUUCUGAGGUUGAUGAUUUGCUACAAAUGUGGAAACAUAUGAAGUGGUGUAUAGAUGGCUUCUCAGCCAGUUGAGAACCUUUUCUGAUGGAAUAACUAGGCUUGAGGACCACUGGAAGAAGUGCAUCAAAAACUAAGGAAACUCUCGAAAAAUGAUGUAAUUGUUCAACCUCUGCUUUUGUUUUAUUAAGCUUAAGUCAUGCAAAAGUGCAUAUAAUUUUUGUCUUGCCUCCAUGCGUGUGUUUGUAUGCAUGCACACAAAUGUUCAUCAUCAUCAUACAUACAUACAUACAGGAGAAAGGUGUGGAUGAAAAGUUCAUCAGGCUAGUAGUGCAUGUGGACACUUCCUACUUUUCAUACAAGAUGAGGAAGGGACAAUUUCUGUUCAUGGUGAUGCAGGAAAAGCGGCUUAAGCACACCAAGAAACUGAUCAAGUCAAAAUAUUUACUGGAACCAGACAUGCUGUGGUUCUUCUCUGACAAGAAGAAUUUCUGGCAAGACAAGAAAACUCCCAGAACAAUGGGUGAUUUGCUGUCUCACUCAGAGAUGUGCCCAGAGUCAUGCAGAUGAAAUUUCCAGUGAUAAUCAAGGUCUUCAGUAUUGUCACCACUUAUCCUACUUCUUCCCCAAGAGCCUCAGGCUGAACACCAAUGGCUGCAUCCAUAUUCUGAGUGAGGUGGUGAAGCUCUGGAUCAACCAUAUAGCUGCUGGGUAGCUAUACAUGUGACAGGAAGACUCAGUGCCUUUCCACAUCAUCUGGAAGACCCAGGCCUGGCUGUCAGAGAAUUUCUUCAAUCACACAGCACCUGACACUUGGUAUCCCAACUCGCCUGACUGCAAUCUCCUUGACUCCUUUGUGUGGGGUGCGAUGGAAUGAGAGACCAACAUAUCUAUUUGCAACACUAAGGAUGAGCUAAGGGCUAGGAUAACCAAGGCCUUCAGGGAUUUAAAAUGUGAAAAAUUGAUAAAGGCCUAUGGCUGGUUCCGCUGUCACCUGGAGAGUGUCCUCGAUGCCAAAGCUGGGUUGAUCAAAUGAAAUCAACAGAAUAUCAUAAAACUAAACUGACCUAAAAUUGAUGAAUAUAUCUCAAAAAACAACACUGUACACCUUUCCCUGAGACAGUCAUGUGAAUGAAUACUGUCUGCACCCUGUAAUGUAUAUAUGUAUGAAUGUUUAUAAUAUAUUAUUUCUAUUAUAUAUGAUACUAGCAGUAUCGCCCGGCGUUGCUCGGGUUUGUAAGGGAAAUAACUAUAUAAGCAUUUUUAGAGAGUUAUAGCAAAAAAAUAGCAAAAAAUGCAUUAAAAAUGGAAAAAAUAUGAUGGUAAAUUUUUUUUAAAAUCGUUGACUCAUCGUAGACAUUUUUAGAGAGUUACUUCCCUUAUAUAAUAGCGAAAAAAUGCAUUAAAAUGGAAAAAAACGAUGGUAAAUUUUUUUUUAAAUCGUAGACUCAUGUAGACGCUUUCUUAGCCAUUUCUGUUUUGGUGUCUUCAAGCCAUGAAGUCGUUGUUCUAAAAGAACACUGGUCUCCUUGACAACGCAUUACGACGUUGAUUUCCUUACACUCCUUUCCCCACAGGUGCAGGUGUGAGCGUGGACGCCAACUCCGCCGCCAUCGACACACGAAAAAUUAUGCAUUAAAAUGGAAUAAAAAAUGAUGUUAAAUUAUUUUUAAAAUCGUAGACUCAUCGUAGACGCGCGCUAAUAUUCAGACGGGCUCGAUAUGAAUCACGACUAUAAGCUACCCGAAUUUGGUUAAACUGCACCGCAAAAUGUGGGAGUAGUUAGGAAUCUAAAUCGAAGGGGACAGACACUCACACAACUACAGUUUUAUAUAUAUAGAUAUACAUAGCGCAGUAGUGGUGAGAUGUGACAGCAAAGAAAAGCAUACAUUCACUCUCUGCAUGCAAUUAGACUCGGAAAGUUCGUGAGGAACCCAUUGACCCAAUUUGCUGACUUUUCCGAUAGCACACAGGUGUCAAUGAAUGGUUGAAUGACCAAAUCCAAGCUUCUCUGCUAGUUCCUCAACAGUUACGAUGAGAUUUUGUUCCACCAGGGUUUUCAGGAUGUCCUUGUCGAGUUCUACAGAUCUUUCAGGAUGAGGCUCGUCUUCUAGGCUGUAGUUUAUGGCUCGGGAUUUCUGGAACCACCAUUGACACUGCCUUACGCUUAUUGUCCAAUCCCCAUAUACUGCAUUAAUAUUUCUUGUACUUUGCACACAUUUAUAUUCUGUUAUUCUUUUAUAUGUUUCAGCCUUGAGGUUGUGGCCAUGCUGGAUCAUGUGUGUGUGUGUGUAUGUGUCUAUCUGUCUGUCUGUCUGUAUGUAUAUAUGUAUAUGUAUGUGUGUGAACAAUAAUAUUUUCAACAGAUGUGUUGCAAAUGUAUCUGAUUGUUCUCAAGCUUCAAUACUGUGUGUGUGUGUAUGUGUGUGUGUGUAUGUAUGUAUGUAUAUGUAUGUAUGUAUGUAUAUGUAUGUAUGUGUGUAUGUAUGUAUGUGUGUGUGUAUGUAUGUGUGUGUGUAUGUGUGUGUGUGUGUAUGUAUGUAUGUAUGUAUGUAUGUAUGUAUGUAUGAGUGUAUGUUUACUUUAUUACUAACACAAGCCACUACGGUUAUUUAAUGAAAGUCUUCCUCAAAUCACUCUCUCUCUCUCGCUAUUUACUCUCUUCCAAGAACAUUUUCACUCACUCUUAGCUCUUAGCUUCCCAUACAUUUUACUCAUGUAUCUAUCAGCGUCAUAGACAGAAUACUUUCAGUUUAGUCUUCCUCAAAUCACUCUGUCGCUAUUUACUUUCAUUUUAUUCGUUGCCCACUGUGUGUGUGCGUUUGCGUGUGGUGUAAACCAGACUAAGAAAAGCAUUUGACACACACACCAGAAUGUGAGUUUUCUGUAAAUUUUGCUUAAUUGGAGUUUAAAUUUUAAAAACUGGACCUGGCAUGACGCGAUGCAUUGUACUCUUAAAAAUGCUAGGUAAAUUGUAAUUGAAGAAAUCCUAUAUUGUAGAUUUCUAUAACUCCCAAAGGGAGGCAGAUAAAAUCUGCCUUUUAUAAUAAGAGAUAUAUCUCUAUAUAUAAUAUAUUAUUUAUAUUAAACAUAAUAUAUAUAUUAUACAUAAUAUACUAGAAUAAAAAAUGUGAGCAAAGGGUAACAAUAUUCAAACCUGGAAAAAUACAAGACAAUAAGUAAACCUAAAAUAAAAGAAAAGAGCUUAAAAUAUUGCAGCUAAAUAUAAAAUUUGAUAAAAAAUAAUCUAAUGCUUUAUCAUAAAUUCCCAUGUAUCAAAUAAAAAUUGUUUUAAGAUUUUUGAAAUGGAGAUUCAUUUUUGUUUAUUUAUUAUUAAUACAAUGUUAUAAAGAUAAUCUUUAUUUUCUUUCAUUAUGAUUGACAUCUGCAUUUAUUUGAGGGAAACGGAUUACCUAGCAGUAAAAUAAACUGACAAACAGUUAACUAACUAAAAAUUAAAAUUUUAAAAGUAAAAUAGUUUUUGCCAAAAAUAAAGUAAUGAAAACAUCUGAUUACUUAAAUAGGCUUAAAUUGUACUAUAGCCAAACAUUUAAUUUAUUUACCUACUUUAUUCUUUUAUUUGUUUCAGCCAUUUGACUGUUGCCAUACUGGAGCACAAUUUUGUCAAAAUUUUCAGUAAAUAAAGUAAUUUUAACUAUUAAUGUUACAAAAUAUUAUGGCAGUUAUCACUUUAUUUUCAUAUAUUGAAAUUUAAAAUUUAUUUAUAGUCAAGCUCAGCAAUAGUGAAAUAAUUUGGGUGAAAAAUGGUUGAUCAGUAUUGAAUGGCUUGGCUUAUUUGAAUAUUUUAUUUAAUUGGCAACCCAUUCAAAUUUUAUUUUAGCUGCAAUAUUUUAAGCACUUUUCUUUUAUUUCAGGCUUACUUCUUGUCUUGUAUUUUCCGGGUUUGUUAAAUACCUAAGAAUAUUGUUAUCUCUUGCUCGCAUUUUUCAUUCUAGUUCACUUUCUUUACAGACAAUGCAGAAAAAUUAAUAAUGUUUAUUCUAAUAAUAAAUUUAGCUUACUUUUUCAUAUUAUUUAAUUUCCUAUUGAUCAAUAAUUGAUGCCUAUUCUUUUUUGUUAGAAAUACUAAAUUGAAUAGCGCUUUCUUUACAUUGAGUAUUGAUAUCUGCCUAUUUAGAAUAAAUUUUUUUAAAAAGAGAGCAAUAAUAAAAAAAAUAUAAAGCAAUAUCUAUGAGCAAUGAGAAAUCAAAUGAAUUAGGAGAGUAGAUUGACUAAAAAACAAAACAUUAUAGACUGGAUUUGCUUUGUAUUGCCAAGUUGUCAUUUAAGUAUCUUUGUAAUUGCAAGACAUGGUAAUUAUUGAAAGCUGCAUAACUUUUUUUCUCUUUAAUAUAUUUUUAUGGGGUUAGUAAGAAAAGAUACAAGUGGUGGAAAUCUUUCAUUUGAAUGCAAAUAAAGUAUAGUUUGCUUUUCAAACAGCUGUGAUAUUUUGAGUUAAAGUCAAUCUUGGGGUUUAUUUACCUAUUUUUUGACCACUUAAAGCUGCAUAACUAAACUUGCCACAUGUUCAAUAGUACUUAUAGAUCAGCCACACAGUAAAUCAUACCACCUACAUUUUGAACAGUCAUUUGAUCACAAUUAAUUAUCUUUUCCAUCUUCGCUUGCAAAACCAGAGAGCAGAAUUCAAAUUUACAUCUUUUAUACAGCAGUCCUUUAAUGCAUCCUGUUUUUUUUUUUGUAAGAUAUUUGUCUUUAGUUCAUUAAUUUCUUGGGUCUCUUUUUAUUUUGUUUUUGUAACAUAUUCACUUUUAGUUCAUUAAUUUCCCAGAUAAGUUAAAAUUUACUUUCUGACAGUCAACUGUUGUCACUGUUCAGUGAGAAGACUUGUUCUUUCAGUUUUAUUUCAUUAAAAGAUCUAUUUUCUGUUUCAAGUUUUUUCUUAUCAACUGCUAUGUAUGCUAUUCUUUGACUUUGUGGAAAGAUUAGGUCUCCUCUACAAAGUUUUGAUGAAUAUUGUGCAAUUCUCACUCAACAUUUCUUUUAUCUCGCAUUGACUGCUUUUUUACAAUGUUUUAUUUCUUUACGCUGUGUCAAUAUGGUGCUUCACACUACACUGGAGCAGUAGUUCUGAUUUUAUUGGGAUCACUGUCGUCCAUAACGCUUUCAAUUCACCACCAGCAAUAGUCUGCUUUACCAUCUUGACAGGGACUAAUCUUCGUUUCACCCAAAGCUUCAUGGAGCAGAAGUCCAAGUGACACACCAUAGUCGGCAAGUAGUCCAGAUCUAAGAGACAAGGAUACUCCAUCUCCAUCACAUAGACUGGAAGCAUGACCUUUUGUCCUGCAACUUCAGUCAGUACAUCAACUGGUCCUCGCAGUUCAGUACAGUGCCUGGUAACACCACACAAUUGCUGUGAUGACUCUGGUAGGUCUCGAUGCUGUAACAUCUCAAGUCUCACAAAAGUCUACUCCAAGGCUGAACCAAUCACAAGGCAGCACUUCUGGCCAUCAAUUCUAUGUUGUUAAUUACAGUCCUUUUACAUCUCAGGGUUGGGGCUUCUUUGGAAUAUUUGGCUGGCAGUUGCCCCUUAACACCAGCCUCUUCUAGUUUUCUGACUCUCCUUUGUCUUUCAUUAUCUUCUUACUAUCCUUCUUUCAUGUGGGGCAGUAAAAACUGAGAUGUCCCUUUUCACCACAUAUCCAGCACUCUCUUCUAAGUGUGAACUUUUUACUACUGUCCUGCUUUUGUUCUUUCUUCAAGCUGUAACAAUCUUGUAUCUUGUGUCCUGGCUUCUCACAGUGCCAACAAUUUAUUUCAACCAUCUUUUGUUCUUUUUUCUUCAAAUAGCUUUCUCUUUUAUGUCUGACCUUCUUGCAGUACCAGCAACUUUCAUUAAAUCUUCCUGCUUCACGUACUUGCCCCUUCCUUGCUUUGAAUCUGGAACUGUAGUCCACCUAGAAUCUUCCUGUGCGAGACUUUACAUAUGACUCAAGUUCCAGAGCUCUAGCUGUGCUUCACUUGAACUUUGAGCUCUGCACUGCCCAACUGUUCUUUCAGAAGAAGAGCUGAAAGUCCCUGGGCAAGCUGUUGUAGUGAUUCUCCCUCCUAUAGCACUUCUGCAAGUCUGAAAUUGGACUUUGUUCACUUCACUCAUACGUAGUAAUAUAUCUUCUCUCUAAAAGUGGGUAUAAUUGAAGUAUAGUUUGAAUUUGAAAUACCUGAGAUAUUUUGAGUAAAAAUCAAGUUUAGGUGUUGCCAAUUUUUUGGCUACUUAACCCUUUCGUUACUAUGUGUUUCAAUUAAUUUCUAACGUAAUCAUAAAUUUAGUCUGGUUUCAUUAAACAGCUAUAACUUUUUUAUUUAUCAAUAUAUUAAUCUGAUUUUUGGAAGAUAAUUUAAUGAAAUGUUCUCAACCAAUUCUAUACUAUAAUUUUUGUCACAAAGUGACUCUUAUUGCAGGUAGAUACAGGUAAAUUCAACAAAAUAUAAAAUUAUUAAAAUUUUGUUCAAACAUUGCUAUAGAAAAUGGGUUAUUAGCUAAUAUUCAAUUGGGUAUACAACAAAAUUUUACGAUAGAAUUUGUUAUUCUGGGUAACUUUCUGAUACCCAUAAUAAUAUUUAUGGCAAAAUAGUCUUAAUUUCAUUUAAGGUUGUGGGAAACCACAAACUAUCCUUUCUUUCGUUUUGUUUACAUUUAGCGUAACGGUUCGUUUCCGCCAUAAUGAUUUCAAAUAGGCUCAUUCGAAAAAGUAAAAGGAAAUAGUCUAAAGCUUUACUCUUCUGGGAAAGUCUGUGGCUUGGUCCAGUUUCUUCAGAAAAAUCACCGAAAGAAACAGUUUUUAAAUUUUCACUCCAUUCAGGUGCCAAUUCAUUUUCUUUAUCGCUGUCGGAGCUCUCGGAUUCACUGUUUUCACUUUCGGAAAAUGAAAUAUCAGAUUCAUUAUCAAAUACCACAUGCUUUUUUUUUUCAGUCAUAGAGUUAGAUUUAUGAAGGUCUUCAGUAGAAAAUCCUUCGAAUUCUGACUCGCUGCUUGAUAUAAUGAAAUUCGUAUCCAUUUUUUGUCAGAAUUACAAAUUUUGAAAACACAAUAGGAACAAAUUUCGGAAAAAAAUCUCCCAAAAUUCACGGAGUUAAAAUUACACUUCGAUUUUUGUACUAAACUGUAGUUGAACUCUUUACAAAGUAUAAUACGUAUUUUCACGAAUGUACUAAAGAGAUUUGCUUUGAUAUUCUCAUUUAAAUAUGAAUAGGUAAAUUCGGGCGGCUUUGGUCGGUUUGGUCACAUUAACCAAAUUUUUUUUCGGGCGGUUUGGUAAUGAAAGGGUUAAAGCUGCAUAACUUUUUUUCUAGCUGAUAUCUUUUAACAAGGCCUACACCAAAAAAUAUUCUACUUAUUGAGUUCUUUUAAAUAGUCAUAAUUAAAGUAUAGUUUUCCUGCUAAAUAACUGAGAAAUUACAAGUCAAAGUAAAUAUUAGGCAUUACUCUCCCAUUUUUGGCUCUACAUUUUUUAUCAUAACAUUUUUUCUACUGAACCAAAUUUCGAUUAUUUUAUGUCAAAAUGUAGCUUACCUUUGGCCCAACAAAGUGCAAAACACCAAAUUAAGAUUGAGCUAAAACUGAAUUAGUGGUAAAGUGUUAAAUUGGUGAGUAAAAGUUGGAAACAACAAAUUAUCAUUAUUUUCAUAACUUAAAGCUGGAUAACUUUUUUCUAUCUAAUAUCUUUUAACAGGGUUUUCACCAGAAGAAUCUACUCAUCAAGUACUUUUAAAAAAAUAUAAUGAAAGUAUAGUUUACUUUUGAAAUACCUGAGAUAUUUUGAGUCAAGAUCAGUUUUAGGCGUUACUUACCAAUUUUUGGCUACUUAGAACUGCAUAACUUUUUUUCCAUCUCAUGUCUUUUAGUGAGGUCUUCACCAAAAGAUUCUACUUAUUGAGUUCUUUUAUAAGGUUAUAAUUAGGGUAUAGUUUUCUUUUAAAUAACUGAGAAAUUAUGAGUCAAAGUAACUAUCGGGCAUUACUCUCCCAUUUUGAGCCCUACAUAUUUUAUCAUAACUUUUUUUCUGCUGAACCAAAUUUCAAUUAUUUUAUGUCAAAAUAUAGCUUACCAUUAGUUCAUCAUAGUGCAAAAUACCGAAUUAAGAUUGAGCUAAAAUUGAAUUAGUGGUAAAGCAUCAAAUUGGCUGCAAGUGAUUAAAAGUUGAUCUUAAUAUUAUUCACAUACUGCCAUGUGUGAAUAAUGUAUAAUAUAUUCAUCAUCCAGUGUUUUAAAUCCAAGUUUUGUCCCCAUUAACGGGAGUGACCAGAUCUACCUUGAUGUCAUAGCAACCGCCCUCAUACCAUCUCGUCAGGUUUUGGGCAUCCUCCUUUUUUCAAACCAACCCUCCCAAUCUCCUCCUCCACCUUUUCCUCAGUCUACCUUGCUUUUGUGCUCAAUUUUCCUCAAACACAAUCACCCUCCUCAGAACAUGCUCUUCAUCCCUCCUCAACAUAUGCCCAUACCACCUCUCUCCAUUUGACCUUGCCAACCAUUCUACUGAUUCCUUCAACCCUAGCAUUUCCAUCAAAUCCUCAGUCCUCCUCUUAUCAAACAGCUUCACCCCACACAUUUCUCUCACCAUUGCUCUCUUAGUCCUCAAAAUUACCAUCUCUCUCUCCUUCAGAUACCAUGUCUCAUUCCCAUACAACAUUGCAACAGCUCUCACACAACUCUUAUAGACCCUUCCUGAACUUCACCCAGCCACAUCUCACUCUUGCUGUCACAGCUGCUUCACAUCCACCACUUAUAUCCACUCUAUCUCCCAAAUAACAAAACCCUCUCACUAUUUCCACCUCAUCACAUAGUGUUUCCAUUGGUUCCACCAGCCCUCCAGCUCCUUUCUUACAUCUUCCAGAAACAAACUCUCUCACCAGUCUGGGGGUCACCUUCUUCAUUUUCGCACAUCUACCAUGAAUCCAUUUCUCACAUCUCAUACGCAACACCAUAUUUGCCAUUACACUCCUCCAACAUACACCACAUGGAUCCACCUUACACACUAACACUUCUUCCAUUCGCUCACUAUCACCUUUGUCUUCCUGAGGUUUACCUUCAAACCCUUACUUCCAUUUCCAAAACUUCUCCCUCAAUCCCUCCAUCAUCUCACUCAUCAGAACAAGGUCAUCCACAUACAGUAUCUCCAUUAUCAAUCCCUUCUUGCACUCUCCAUCACCACAUCAACCUCUGUUGCAAACAACAAUGGUGACAACACAGAUCCCUGAUGCACACCAACUUCCACCACAAACUCCAAUUCUAACUCUGAUCCAAUUCUUAUACUUGUCUUGUCUACAUAUUUCUCUCCUAUGACAUUAUGAUUCUCUCUGACACACUGUCUUGCAACACAAAACACUUUAAAUCUUUGGUCCUCAUGAUGCAGAACAUUGGCAAUUUUUUUCUUAUUUGCUUCUCCUCUAGCUAUGUAAACAUAUCUCCUAGCUUCCCUUCUGAUGAUAUGAUACAGUUCCCUGCUAUCACCAUUCUUCCAGUCCUUCCAUGCCUGUUUCUUUUCCCUAAUGGCCUUGUCAACUAUAUUGUUCCACCACCACAUUUACCUUAGGUUGGGAGGGGACUUUGCACCAUCCACAGAUCUGGUCAUUAGCCCUCAACAGGUUGUCACAUAGGAACCGCCAGUUGUCUUCCACAUUAUAUGAUGCUAUAUCCUCCUUUUUUGUGAAAAGUUUUGAGUAAUAUGUCUCUAAAUGUCUGUCCAUUCAGAGGAUCCUUAAGCUCCCAGACCCUUCUUUUCCAUGCUGGUCAUCUUCUGGGCAUCCAUUUAGCCCUGAUUCUCAAGUCACUGACUACUAACCUAUGUUGUGGGGUGCAUUCUUCACCUGAGAAGGUUUUGGCAUUUAUAAGUAGCCAUCUUUCCUGUUUCCUGGUGAGAAUGUAGUGAAUCUGACUAAUGUGUCCACCAGCCUGGUUGGUGAACAGGUGACUGGCAGGUUUCCUGAAGUUAGUAUUACAGACCAUAAGAUCAUUUGCAUCACAGAACUCCAGCAGCCUGGUUCCCUCUGCAUUGCGGGAACCAAAUAUAUAGCCACCAUGUACACCGUGGGAGCUCCCUGCUUAUUGUCCAACAUGCCCAUUGAAGUUGCCAUCCACAAUGAGAAGGUCCCUGUCAUUCAUUGAUGAGGUAGUCUGCAAGAGGGUAUCAUAAAAUCGGUCUUUCUGUUCAUCAGAUAGCCCUGGAUGAGGGGCAUAAGCUGAGAUAAUGGUUGCUAAUCCAUGUUGCAUCACUAAUCUAAGCUUAAGUAUUCUAUCACAGACUCUGACUACCUCGAUUACCAUAUCAAUCCAUUUCUUCACAAGAAGUAUACCCAUGCCUCCCACCCCAUCAGUGUUCCCUACCCAGAAAAUCUUAUACCUAUGUUCUUUGCCUGUGAGGAACCUAGCAGAAUGCCUUCUCUACCUUACUUCUUGGAUGCAGCACAAAUCUACACAUCUCCAUUCAAGUGUCUCAACAAUCUCACCAGACCUACCUUUCAAUGUGCCAACUCUGAAGGUGUGGAAAGCAUGGGCCUACGAGAUCCUGGGAUGAGAGACAGCAGCAGCAUGUAUCUGAAAUGAAAGCUCGGAUUUGGUAGAACUCAUAAACAUAGAAUAGCCUUCAACCUGCAUGCACUACACCAUCAUUUCAUGUGCUACAUAAUCACUACACUCCAUUUGAGAUAAACACUAAGUAGAGAUGGGGUAGCAUUUAAGUCAUUGGAGGUGUUCAGGGGAAAGACAUCCCAUAGAGGUCAGAGGAUAAAGACAUCCAGUAUAGGUGGGGGAGGGCGGGAUGGGCAGGCUCACCACAAACUAGCAAACACUCUGGCUGAUGGUGUGAAGAAAUAAUAAUAACAAUAAUGAGAUAGAACUGGACAUUUGCAUUCUUAACUAGAGCUAUAACCAACAGUAUUCGGUCAACCAAACUGUGACAAAAUUAGAUAAAUGAAUGAAUAACAAUAAUAAAUGAGUGUGAAAGAGAGGGAGAAAGAGGAAGAAUAGGGAUCUUAAGUUUUCUCUAACAUAUGGCAUGGAAGACGAAAUUGUGGGGAUAUAGAUAGAUAAUGAAAUAAUAAAGUAAUUAUAAUUUGUGCUUUAAAAGAGGUUCUUAGAUGUGUGCUUGGUUGGAAACAAAAGUCGCUUAUCUGAACAUCUUCUUUGACUUCUACUUUGUGUGGCAAGAUAUUAGAUUAUAAGGUAGGGGAAUCUGAAUAGAGCUAACGGAACUGAGUGUGAGAGAGAGAGAGAGACCAGAUUUGGCUGGCUGAAGACAAAACACGAGAUGAAAUUUUGGGGAUUUAGAGUAACGUAACUGAACGAUUAGAUUUAAUUUGCCAUCAUACAAACCACUAGGUGAAUAACACCACAAAACAGCAAACACUCUGGCUGCUGGUAUGGAGGAAUAACAAUAACGAGAUAGAAUUGGACAUUUGCAUUCUUAAAUAGAGCUAUAACCAACAGUAUUCGGUCAGACAAACUUUGACAAAAUUAGAUGAAUGAAUAACAAUAAUAAAUGAGCGUGAAAGAGUGGGAGAAGAUAGAAUUAGGAAGAAUUGGAUUGAACAUAGGGAUCUUAAGUUUUCUCUAACGUACAGCAUGGAAGAUGAAACUGUGGGUACAUAGAUGUAUACAUGCAUCCUUUUAUCCUUUUUUACUUGUUUCACUCGUCAUUUGACUGUGGCCAUGCUGGAGCAUUACCUCGAAUUGUUUUAGUUAAACAAAUCAACCUAGGACUUAUCGUUUUUUUAAGCCUAGUACAUAUUUUAUCAGUCUCUUUUGCUGAACCACUAAGUAAUGGGAAUGUAGUAAACACACCAACAUCAGUUAUCAAGCACUGAUGGAGAACAAACACAGACACAAAGACAUGCACAUAUAGAUACAUACAUACAUACAUACAUAUAUAUAUAUAUAUAUAUAUAUAUAUAUAUAUAUAUAUAUAUAUAUAUAGUGAGAAUUUACAAAAAAACAAAAGAGGAAAAUGGGUGUGUAAACAACAAACAGAUGUGUUAGUUUAACGCUCAGGAAGUGAGAAAGUCUUUUAUGUUUCGAGCUUACGCUCUUCGACAGACAGGAACACAGAAAUAAACAGGAAGAGAAAAUAGAAAAAGGCUUAGUGGCUAGCGAUCUAUCAUGGCAAAUGCUGGACAGAAGGGUUACACAGGAGAGUUAGGAAGAAGGGGAUAUAAUAAAGUAGUGGUGAUCCCAAAAUGAAGGUGCACGUGCAUGUAUGUGAGAGUGUGUGGGUGAUGGUGUAGGUGCUGGGAAGUGGUCAGUGCUAAUGUGUGCGCUGGUGUGGGUGUUGGGAAGUGGUCAGUGCUAGUGUGUGCGGGGUGGUGUGAUAUGGUGUGGUGGUGUUGGGAUGUAGGGGAAACAAGGGUUGAGGCCUAAGGGAUGGGAUGUAUAGGGAUGGUGGGGUAUAUAAUGAAAGAAAGAAAAUGGAGAAUUAUGAAUGUAUAAAUAAUAUAUUUAUAUGAUAUAGUAAGGUUGAAAGAUUUUUUUAUAGAAACAAAACAAAUAAAUUAUAAAGCUCUAAAAGAAAUGGUAGAUGCCAUUUUUGAAUUAUUUAAUCCCUAAUGAGGACCUGACAUCCUCAAAUUGACUGUAUAUAUAUGUGUGUGUAUGAUAGGCUUCUGUCAAUUUCCAUCUACCAAAUCCACUCACAAGGCAGUUGGCUUGAGGCUAUUGUAGAAGACACUUGCCUGAAGGUACCAUGCAGUAGGACUGAAUCCGGAACCAUGUGAUUGAGAAGCAAGCUUCUUACCACAUAACCAUGCUUGUAUAUACACUGGCCUAUAAUUAAUUUUUAACUGAAGGAGUAAAACAGUAAUCAUAUUCAAAGUUUAAUAACUCAAGAAACACCCUACAGAAUUGUCUGAAAAUUUGCACUAUUAUUUGGUAGAACCUCCUUUCACAAGUUUCACAGCUUUUACAGGGUCUUUUAUCAUUUUGACUAAGUUAGUGACAAUAGUUUGAUCCAUGUUAUUCCCUGUUUCCAAGAGAGUGCUUUUAAGGGCUGCCACAGACGUAACUUUGACAGAAUUAGCUCGAAUUUCUCUGUCAAGGUACUCCCAGACAUGCUCAAUUGGGUUCAAGUUGGGGCUUUGAGGUAUCCACUGAGGGACUUGAUGCCAUGCAUUUCUCUCCAGGCAUUUGAAACUUUGCUUGUAUGAUAUGGUGCUCCAUCUUCUUGAAAAAGAGGUGUUCUUAUCCAUUUUACCAGUGUUGUAAAUUGGAAGUAGUCCCUUUCCUAAUAUAGUAUUUUGGUCCAUCCAACAGGUUUUCCAUGGAAAUUAAUCAGAUUUCCUUUCUGCCCAGACAGCCCCACAAACCAUGACUCCAAUCCUGCCAUAUUUCAUGGUAUGUUACAAACAUUCAGCCUUCCAAGCUUCAGUUUUGUCUCUCCAUACAUAGACUUGCCUUGAAUUCGAAUAUUGGCAAAACUUACUUUCAUCUGGCCACACCACAGACUUUCAAAAUUCAGCUUCCUUGUCCUCAUGCUCCCAAGCCCAGUCACACCUUUUCCCCUUGUUGGUAUCUGAAAUCAAUGGUUUCUUUCUUGCAAUUCUUCUUUCAUAUGCUAGUUCUUUUAGGACUUUUCUUACAGAGUAGACAACAUUUCCAUGUUGGUUGUGACCUCUCUAAUGCUAAGAUGGCAGUUUCUGGCGGUUUCCCUCUUCAGUGCCCUCUUUUCUCUAUCUGAAACAAUAGUCAGCCUUCCAGAAUGAGGUUUCAUAUGACAUUGUCCUUCUUGAAACCUUUUGACAAUAUUAUUCAGUCUGAUAAUUUACCUUAAAAAACUUUAUUUCUCUGUUUGACUUUCUGCACUGAUGCCAUCCUAUGAUUUGCCCUCAUUUGGACUUGCUAAUUUGUGCGCUUCCUUUCACUCUCAUUGUGAAAUAUCAUUUGAAAAAUCUAUUACUCUGCAAAAGAUGAGAGAAAAUACAAUAUAAAAUCUAAGAAACCUGUUACAAAUCAUGACCUCUCAAAAAAUUAAGGUGGUUAAAAACUUAUCGUAGGCCACUGUGCGCAUGUGUGUGUGUAUAUAUAUAUAUAUAUAUAUAUAUAUAUAUAUAUAUAUAUAUAUAUAUAUAUAUAUACAUAUAUACAUAUAUUCUAUGUAUGUAUAUGUUCUUUUAUUCUUUUCAGCUCUAAGGCUGUGGCCAUGCUGGUGCAUCAGCAGUGUAAUCACCUUUUCAGUGGCCAAUGUUAUGUGAUUGGCUUUUGGUGAAGGAAGGAGUUGAACACUGUUGCCCUCUUUUGAGUUUCCUGCCUUGGUUCAUCUUGGACCUUGGAUAGCAGGCGGUCAAGUUGUUUCUUGAAAGCAUUUAUCCCUACUCCAUGAAGAUCACUCAGAUGUUUAGGCAAGGCAUUAAAUAGCUGUGGGCCCAAGCUGUUGUAUAUGGUCUUCAAGCUGUUGUAGUAUAUGGUCUUCACUCUACAUGGGAUAGCUGAGACUUUCGGAACUGUGCAGUGAUGUCCAGUUUGGGGGUUGGUAUAGCUCUUGAUACCAAUGUUUGGUGUCAGUCCCUCCAGGAUCUUCCAUACACAUAUCACUGCAUACCUCUCUCAUCUUCAUUCCAAAGAGUAGAGUUGUAGCUCUUUCAGUCUCUCCCAGUAGCUCAGCUGUUCCAUUGAUGCAAUCUUCCUGGUGUAGCACUGCUGAACUGCUUCAAAUUCUGCUAUUAAUCUGACACUGUAGGGUGACUACAGUUGAGAGCAGUACACCAGACAGCUGAGGACAAAUGUCCUCCAUACAACCAGCAUAGUUUCUUGGUCCCUUAUUUUGAAGGUUCUCAGAAUCCAUCUGGCCAUUGACCUGCACAUUUCUACUGUCUUCGUGAUUUGUGAAAUAAGGCAUCUUUGCUCAUAUCAAUCCCCAGGUCACACACUGUAUGUACUCUAGGAUUGCUGCUCAUUUUGGUCUAAAGUAUCAUUGCAGCUUGUGAGUACCAGUUAGCUGGUAGUUGAUGGCUUGGAAUUGACCUGCAUUAAAUUGCAUGAUGUUUUCUUCAGCCAUUUAUAUAUGGCAUCUAGGUCUUUCUGUACUGCUUUUGUAUCAUUGGCAUAACUAGUAAAUUAACACAGGCAAUAAAAAAUCCAGAUGACAUCGAAAGCUUACAGCAGGAUGUGAAUGAAAUAUAAAAGUGGGCUGAAGUAAACAACAUGCAACUUAAUGUUGGAAAAUUUCAAGCAAUGUGCUGUCAGCUCACAAAUGCACUGCAGCCUGCAUAUACAGGACCCAAAGACACUGCAAUCUCAGAGUCACAGGCAGUGAGAGACUUGGGGAUCAGUAUGUGCAAUGAUGCAUCAUUUCAUAUGCACCUUACCAAGAUAGUAGCAGAGUACUUUCAACAGGCAGGAUAGAUACUAAGGUCCUUCAAGACAAGAGACCAAGAAGCUAUAUUGACCCUGUGGAUGACCUUUGUUAUCAGCUGCCUGGACUACUGCUUUCAGCUCUAGUUGCCACAUAGUGUCAAACUAACAGCAGAGCUUGACGCGAUCCAAUGUCACUGUUGUGGUGAAAUCCUGACACUCCAGUGUCUGUACAAGUGAACUGUCCUAAACUUUAUAAAGGCGUAUGCAUACUGACAGUGUGACAUACAGUGUGGUAUUUGCAAUUGCAUUUGUGAAGACAGUCAUAGAAAUCAUUGAGAAAAGAUAUGUUUGUUACUGAUUUAGAUUUUGUAGUGUUAUAUCCAAACGCCGCAAAGAUAUAAGAGUCGCGACGAGAAAUUCGAAGCUCACUGUGAAUGUUCUUAGCAUGGAUGAACUAUUAGCUUCCGUGGUACAAUUGCAACAGCAACUACAACAACAACAACAAUAGCAACAGCAGUAACGGAAACUACAACAACAAGAACAACAGACAGCAACAACUGGUGCAACAGGAACAGCAACAGCAAAAUCAACAGUUGUUGGAAUUAUUGUUGCAGUCCAAAACACUUCAGGUUUGUUUUCGGCAGAUGGGGUUGCUAAUUCAACUGAAGAAUUUACUUAUAAUCCAGAAGGGAUUAUGUUUUCAGCAUACUUCAGAAGGUAUGAAGGAAUCUUCAAAGAAGAAUGUAGAAACUAGCAGACGAAAAGAAGGUAUGACUUCUUUUAAGGAAAUUGUCACCUGCAGAACAGGAAAAGUACUGUAAUUACAUCCUGCCGAGAAAACCAUCCGAAAUUUGUUUCAAGGAAACAACCUGUUAUCUAAGAUAUUCAGUGAAAGAAGUUCACUAUUUAAUAUUUGCUGGGAGUGCUUGAAUUUAAAAAAAAAAAAUAAUAAACUGAAGAUUUUGUCACAUAUGCCGGAAUCGUUAACAGAGAAUGUGAAAAAUUUAAACUAAACAGAUUAAUCCUGGACAUGUUCAAAUGUCUAAUCUUUGUACAAGGAUUACACUGUGCAACAAAUUUCAGGUUCAAAAAAAGUACAAGUUAAGUAAGACUUGUUUCUGGGUCAAAAAAUUCUCCUGAUUCUGAUUCUGACCUUUAUUUCUCUAGAUUAGGUACCGUUUUCCUGUACCAUGAACCAUAUGUUUUAUAAUAUACUGUAUAAUAUUGCGUAUUGAACACAUUAUUGCAAAUACUGAAAGUUACAAAAAACAAAACAAAAAUUUAGUUGGUAUAACAAAACAUAUAUUGGUUAUGAAUUAAAAACACACCUGUCAGUUUAAACAACUUUUGUCCCUCUAAGCCUCUUGUGCGGGGUGUGGUUUUCUGUUUUUUAUACCCCAGCAGUAGUCUGCCAACAUGCCAGGGUCCCAUUUUCUUUUGAAUCGUCACUCCAUCACUGAAAUAUCCUGAUAGAACCUUUCGCCAUGUUCAUCACUCACAUCACCAAGAUUUUCCGCAAAAAAUCCAAAUGAGAGUGAAGCACAUGAACUUUUAGAGACAUGUUACAUCCCAUAUCAUGGUAAUGACUCAGCAGAUCAUUCACAGUUUGCACAUAGUCUUCUGAACGAUGGUUGCCCAGGAAGUUAUCACAAACUUUCUUGAAUGACUCAAAUGCAAGUUUCUCUUUUCUCUUGAGAUGUGUGAUGAAGGUUUCAUCAAGUAUAAUUUUUUGAAUUUGGGGACCUACGAAGAAACCUUCUUUAAUUUUAGCUUGACUUAGGGAAGGGAACUUUUCUGCAAGAUAUUCAAAUGCGGAGGAUUCCUCGUCCAAGGCUUUCACAAAUUGCUUAAACAAACCAAGUUUGAUAUGCAAAAGUGGUAAAAAAAUUCUACCACUUUUCACAAGUGGUUUGUGUAUGAUGUUGUGUUUACCUUACUCAAUUUCAUCUUGGAUCGCCCAAUCCUUGCAUACAUAAUGUUCAGCUCUUGCUCUGAAAUUACAUGAGCACAGGAAAAAGCAGAAUUUAGUAUAGCCAAUUUGAAACUAACUCUACAGUAGCUGAAGAAUGCCAAAGCAUUAUAAAUUUAUAACAGGAUGCAGAAAAAAUUGGAAAAGAUUAUUCAAAUAUAUAUAUGUGUCAACCUGUAACAGAUAAGAAAAAAGAAAAAAACAAUAGUCAAAACCCAAACCAUGCUUUGGGUGUGGAGAAAUACAUUUUAAAAGAAACUGUCCUUUUAAAAAUUUUAAAUGUUUUGGAUGUGGAAAAAUCAGACAUAAGAAUUCACAUUAUUGGGUGAAAUAAAAAAGGUCGAACGAAAAAAUUUGACGGAAAAAGUAUUGUCAACACAAAUGCAAAAUGAGGCAGAAAAAAAAAGAAUAUUCAUCUCCAUAAAAAUAAAUAAUGUGAAUAUGAGACUACAGUUGGACACAGGUAGUGAUAUCAUGAUAAUUAAUGAUGAUACAUGGAGAAAAAUUGGAAAGCCUACAUUGAAAAAAUUUUUUUAAAUCACGUGUGGUAUUUCAGGGAAACAAUUGCAAUUUUUGGACGAAAUGAUAAGUGAGGUGACAUAUUAUGGAAAAACUUUGAAAGCCAAAGUUUUUGUAUUAAAAAAUAUGACAAACCUAUUUGGCACAGACUAGAUGGAACUAUUUAAUUUAGGGGACCUCCCCAUAAAUAUUUUUUGCUAUAAUGUAAACGGUUCUUAAUGCUAGUUCAAAUAAGGCAUUGGAGGAUUUAAAAAAGAAAUUGGAAAAGAUUUUUCCUGAUGUUUUUUCUGAAUAAUUAGGUAGGUGCACCAAGACAAAAAUAAAAUUUCAAAUGAAAGAAAACACUGUGCCGGUAUUUAAGCCAAAGCAAGCUGUACCUUUCAUGGCACUGAAUCAAGUCAACGAGGAAUUGGAUAGACUUGAAAAGCUUGGAGUUAUAGAAAAAUUUGAUUAUUUAGAAUGCGCAUCACCAACUGUUGAUGCAAAGAAAAGAAAAUACGAGUAUGUACUGACUUUUCAACAGGCUUGAACGAAUGUUUGUUGAGUUGACAUACAAUUACCCAUUACCAGGUCCAGAGGAAAUUUUUGCAAAACUCAGUGGAGGAAAAUUUUUUUUCAAAGUUGGAUUUGUUGGAGGCAUAUUUACAUUUACAAGUCGAGGAGGAAUGUUCAAAAUUCUUAACAAUAAACACCCAUAAAGGUUUAUAUAAAUUCAAUCAACUUCUUUUUGGGAUAAAGGUUGCACCUAGUAUUUUCCAACACGUGCUGGACACUAUGCUUGUAGAUACGGAUUUCGCUAUAGCUUACUUGGAUGACAUACCCAUAAAAAGUGAGUUUCGAGGCCAGCAUGAGGAACAUGUUAAAAAUGUCUUUGCAAGAAUAAAGGAGUAUGGAUUUAAAGUUAGCGAGGGAAAAUGCAAAUUUUUCAUGCCAGAAAUAAAGUAUCUAGUGCAAGUUAUCGAUAAAAAUGGUCACAGGCCAGAUCCUUCAAGAUCAACUGCAAUAAAAAAUAUGCCUACCCUGAAAAAUAUUACAUUACAAGCAUUAUUGGGGCUUGCAAACUAUUACCAAACAUAUAUACUGAAAAUGCAUGAGCUAAGAGCACCCCUAAAUAACCUAUUGAAAAAAGACGUUAAAUGGUAUUGGUUGGACAGGUGCCAAAAAGCGCUUGAAGAAACAAAAAUGUGUUAACAUCGGAAAUGUCAUUAACGCACUUUGAUCCAAAUUUAACAAUAGUAGUAGCAUCAGAUGCCAGAGAAAGUGGUAUAGAAGCGAUAAUUUUACACAAGUAUGAAAGUAGUGUAAAACCCAUCGCUCAUGCUUCAUGUUCAUUGAUGGCAGCUGAAAAACUACAGCCAAAUUAAGAAGGCAUUAGCCAUUAUUUUUGCAGUGAAAAAAUUUCACAAAUUUAUACAUGGAAGGAAAUUUAGUCUGCAAACAGAUCACUGCCCAUUGUUGUCAAUUUAUGGAUCGUGAAAGAGUAUCCCCACAUAUACAGCCAACCAAUUGCUGCGCUGGGGUACAAUCCUGCUAAAUUAUGACUUUAAGAUGGAAUUUCUACCAUCGUAAAAACUGUGACAUGCGGAUUGAUACCUAAAUACAAUGAACCAUUAGAGGACACAGUAAUAGCAGCAUUAAAAGUUGAAAUCGAAAUAAAAAAAUAUACACUGCAACAUAGUAUAUAUAUAUAUAUAAUAUCUAUGUUAUAUAUGUCAUCAUCAUCAUCCUUUAAUGUCUGUUUUUCCAUCCAUGCUGGCAUGAGCUGGACGAUUUGACUGGAGCUAAGAAGCUGCACCAGGUUCCAGUCUGAUUUGGCUUGGUUUCUAUGGUUGGAUGCCCUUCCUAACACCAACCAUUUCAUAGUGUGUGCUGGGUGCUUUAAAUGUGCCACCAGCGUGCUUUAUAUGUGACUCUGACACAAAACUUUUCACCAGGAGAUGUAGCCUUAACACUUCUUCUAUGGAAGACAGAUCUUCUUGAGUACAACAAAACACCAAGUGUUUUGGUUCUUGGUCUGCUCAUCCAAAAGGUUCAGCGUUCUGAAGUCAAUCCUUCAGUAUUUUGUCCCAUGUCUUCCUGGGUCUCCCUCUUCCACAAAUUCUAUCCACUUUCAGAGAUUGGCACUUCUUUUUGGAGCCAUCAGCAUCCAUUCACAUCAUAUGACCAAACUAACACUGUCUUCUCUCUUGCCCACUGCAUCUAAUUCCUCUUAUUCCUAACUUCUCUCUCAAUACACUAACACUCUGUCACAUGUGUACACUUGCAUUACACAUCCUGCAGAGCACACUAGCCUCAUUUCUCUCUAGCCUUCACAUGACCUUUGCAUUCAGGGCCCAUGUCUUACUACCAUAUAGAAUUUCUAUUCAUAUGUAUGUAUCAUACAAUUUUCCAUUCAUUCAGAGAGAGAAACCUUUGGUUGCCAACAGAAGUAAAAGCUCUCUGAAUUUUCUCCACCCUAUUCUUAUUCUAACUAUUACACACUUUGUAUAGCCACCCUGACUACUAAUGUCGUCCCCUAGGUAGCAAAAAUAUUUUUGUCUCUUGUGAAUCUUCCACAUAGGAACACUACUUUUGCUGAUAGCCUUCCUAUUAUUCCACUGCACCUGUUGUGUGUCCAUAGCUUACACUGGGUAGACCAUAUGAAAUUCCUACCUACACCUUUCCUACUAAUCAAGCUGGGCCACUUUAUCUGAAGUGGGUAGGAUCCUGUUAGUUUUCAUCUUUAAUAAGACCUUAGUCUUUGCUAAGUUAAUCUUAAGUCCUUUAGAUUCCAGGUUUUGCUUCCACAUGUGGAAUUUCUUUUCUAGCAAUGAUACAGAAUCUGCUAGGAGGGCAAGACUGUCAGCAUAUAGUUGUGACCAGGAGCCAUCAAUCUUGAAUUCCUUUGUUAUGACCUAGAGGACAAUGAUGAAAAAUAGGGGACUGAGGACUGAGCCUUGAUGAAUCCCUACCUGUACAUCAAAUUCUUCACAUUACUUGUGGUUAAUUCUCACCUUACUGACAGUGCCCCUAAAAAUAGGCUGUACAGCUUUCACAAGCUACUCAUCCAUUCCUGGCCUCCUCAGAGCCCACCAUAUCACACAGUGGGGAACUCUGUCAAAGACUUUCUCUAGAUCAACAAAUGCCAAGUGUAAUGGUUUAUUCUUGGCUAAGUAUUUCUCUUGCAAUUGCUUGGCAAUGAAAAUAGCAUCAGUAGUGCUUUUCCCCAGGGCAAAACCAAACUGCAUUUCAUUUAGCUUAACUCUGUUUCUAAUUAAUUGUGCUGUAACUCUCUUUGUAAUUUUCAUUACCUGGUCCAGAAGUUUGAUACCUCUAUAAAUGCUUCUAGCUAAGGCAUUUUCCUUACCCUUGUAGCAGCUAACAAUAUGCAGGUAACUAUUCCGUAUCCUACCUUGCCAGAUAUUUGGAGUAUCUCAGCAGUGACUCCAGAUGGACCAGGGUUCUUCUUUGUUAUUAUAUCUUUAAUUGCCUUACCUACCAUACUGCUGUCCACUAAGAUAGCUGGUCCCUCAGUUUAGUUCACAUGAGGGAGACUCCUUUUAUCCCAUUCAUUCUCAACAUUCAAUAGCCUUGCAUAGUAACUCUUCCACACUUUUUUCUUGUCUGAAUUCUAAGUGCAAACAUACCAUUAUUCAUGCAUAUACACUUCUCUCCCACAAUAUCCUGAUUCUCUCUGACACACUGACUCACAAUCUGGAACACCCCAUGUCUCUGAUCUUCAAGUUGUAGGGCAUUGGCAAACCUCUUCCUUUCCGCUUUUAUGUUAACUAGGUAAGCUGACGUCUCACUUCCCUUUUAGCUUCUUGAAAUGAUUUCUGCUACCCACUCUUUUCCAUUCUUUCCAGACCCAUCUCUUCUCUUUUGUGGCCCUAUCAACAUCACUGUUCUACUACCAUGUCACCCUGGUCUGGAAGAAGCUUUGCUCCCACCACAGAUUUGGUCUGUCACCCUCAGUCGAUUGUCUCAUAGGAACUUCCAGUUGUCUUCUACAUCUUAUAUCUCUAUCUCUUCCUCCUUCUCAUCAAAAGCUUUAUUAAGAACAUCUCUAAAUCUCUGCCCAUUUGGAGGAUCCUUGAGCUUCCACAACCUCCUUUUCUAUAUUGGUUUGUGUCACUGCAUCCUUCUGGCUCUAAGUAUGAAGUCACUAAUCACUACCCUAUGCUGCACUGUACAUUCUUCCUCCAGGAAAGAUUUUGCAUUUACUAGCAUACACUUGUUCCUGUGUCUCUUGGGAAUGUAGUUGAUUUAGCUGGUGUGCCCACCAGAUUGGUAAGUGAUCAGAUGGUUGGCAGGUUUCCUGAAGUAGGUGUUGCAGACUAAUAUGUCAUGAGCAUCACAAGACCCCAGCAGCCUUGUCCCCUUCUCAUUUUUGGAGCCAACACUCUGAAAUUCAUUGGGGUGUCUUCCAACAUGUCCAUUGAAGUCCCCUCCCAUAAUGAGUACCUCCUUGUCUUUUGUUAUCCUGCUGCCCUAAUAACAAGAGAUAUAAAGCUGAAAGUGUAUCUUGAGUACGCCUUAUCAAUGGUCCACUCCUGUAUUUUUCUUACCAAAUUGGCAUUUAGGAAGCUGCUGAUUUCCACAGAGCAUAUUUUUGUUUUGGUUUCCAAUCCAACAAUAUCUGACUGGUUGCAUUUUUAACUUGGUGACUAUUGUAAUUUUUAAGCUCUGCCAAUAUUCUUUUGACCCAUGUGUCUUAAUAUAGUCAACUUUGUCUGCUGGCAUUGUCUUUUCCUAACCUGUUCUAGACCGUUCUGCCACUAUAUCAUUCCUCAUGGGAAGGUAUUUGGAAGACGUUCUCUUGCAGUUGGCAAUAAUGUGGUUGAUGAAUUCAGUCUUGGUUUUACACAGCGUACGUUUGUUGUCUGUCAAUCUUUUCUGCUUUUUAUGUUGUGCCAAACACCCUUGUACUACCUUUUCAGUGAACUGGUUCAUUUUUAAACUUUGUUCUUCUGAUGAAUAGAAUUGAUCAAUGCCCCUUGGAGAGAGAUGUGUAUCAGUUCUUACUUCACCUCAAGCCAUCCUAAUUAUGUUGUUGAUUUCAUAGCCUCAAACUUGGACAAGAUAGUUACUGGCCUCUUUCCCCUACCGUGGAUAUUGUUUUAGUGCCACAAUAUGUGCUUUAUAUGACAUCAAAACAGAUUUAAGACUAUGGCCACCAUCCUUUUGUGGGAAGUAUAGCCUGUUUACAUCUUCACUGAUGUUGAAAUUUCCAGUUAUACUGAGAGCUUGUAAGUUUGUACACUUAUCUUAUCAAGUUAUUGUAGUGACCAAUUCAGAAAGUCAAAUGUAGGCAUGCGAACAGGCUCUGCAAAUGUGUUGUGAGCAAUAUGCUUAUUGUAAGCAGAGAAUUCAGAUGACUGUAUUUUUUUAUCCUCUUGAGGUACUCAUUCCUUAUUCUCUCCUUAUUGAUAGGUCCAUCAUAGCUGAGAUUCUCAUCCUGUCCAAGUAUCUGUAGCUUUUUUCAGAGAGUAGACGCUGUAUUUCUAGGUUAUUUAUGUUUCAUGUCUUAGAUGAAAGCACAAGUUUGCUGCAUUUUACCACCAAUAAUGCACAUUUAGACUAAUCAAAUUUUAUUCCAAUGUCUUUGUGUUAUGAGAUCCAGUUUUUGAAGUGGUUAUUAUUUGGCUCAUACAGCUUCAAGUCAUCAACAAAGGAAAGUUAAAACUGUUGUUGGAUCUAUUCCUAUAGUUGCUGUGUUUUGUGAUUAGGUAAGGCAUGGGGUUCAGUGAGUGUACAAAGAGUUGUACUGACAGAUUAUUGCCCCAAAGGAUGCCUUUUUGGAAGUAUAGUGUCAGAUUUGAUGUUUUCAUUAUCACUUCAAAGAAGUAAGAUGUACCAUUUUUUGGUUAGGUAGUGGAUAGUACUUUGGUUAAUUGCAAGUGCCUUGAUUAUCCACCCAUGUGGUAUACUAUCAAAGGCUUUUGGUUGUCCAACCACACUGUAGGUAAGUUUCUUCAAAUCUUUAUUGUUCUUUCAUGUGUCAUUUUGUCAAUCAGUAUGUGCUCAAUACAUCCCCACACUUCCUUCUUCCCUCCAGCUUGUUCUGUGGUUACAAUAUUGCUUGUGUUACAGUGAUGCUGUGAAAACAAGUUGAGGCAACCUGUGUACAUCUUAUACAUGAAUUUUUGACUAGCUACUUUUAGUUUCAGUGGUUUGGCUAUUUUGGGGAUGAGAAAGUUGACGGAUGGUUGACAGACAUAUAGAUAUAUUUAGUGUGCCCUUGAUACUCUUUCCAAACUGUGUUGUUAAAUUUCUUGAUAAAGGUUGAGAUUCUUUUUAACCAAUAUCCUAUAAUAAGAUCUGGGUCAAGAGAUUCAACGUUUGGUACUUUUUCAGGUGUGUUUCUGGUACUGCACUAUUGAUUUCAUAAAAGUUUUGUUUCACAUGCUUUCAGUAUUCCUGUUUGAAUUCCUCAUCCAUUCAACCUUUUUAUUGAAUCCAUCAUUCCUUUUCCAAAUUGAUUUGCAGUAACUUUCCACUUGUUCAGUCAAGGGGUUGUUUUUUACUGAUUUUGUGUUAUUUUGGUUGAUUUGGGACUGAUUUGGGAACACUCUGAAAUAAUAUAUUCAGUGUUUUCCAUUUAUAUUCUGCAGAUUUGUAUUUCAAUUUCUCAGCUGUUGCUGUUCUUGUUUCUGCUGACGAAGUUUGGAAUUUUAGGUUUAGGUUUUUGAGUCCCCAAACUGCUUUCCUAGUUUAUCUUUUAACUGUUUCUGAUGUUUUGUGAAUUUAUUGAGAGUGGAACACUUCAUAACUAAGAUGAUCUGUGAGAUAGUUUUUCAAAGAAUCAGAAUUUUAUUUUUCAAGCUGUGAGCUCAGCUCUGAAUGUUUAACCCCUGUCUUUAUUGAACAACUUCAGUUACUUAUGGUAGGCUAACAAUGUUAUUGCUGACUCAUAUAGCAAAAGAUUUAUAGCUUUGUAUGUGAGUUUUAAUUCAAUACACAUUAAAUUAGUUUUCUGUUAUUGUAUUAAUUACUUCCAGUUCCAAUUUAAAAGGCUUUUUUUUGUGUUUGUUUUAAAUGGCUUGUUUUUAAAGUUAAUGUUUUCAACCUACUUAACAUCAUAUCUUCCCACACCAGUUUUACAAAAUUUAUAAUAUUUCAAUAUUCUCCUGUUUUGUUUGAAGAAGCUAUCAUUUGGCUGCUUUUGUUUUCUAGCAGGCUGAGUAUUUCACUGUGAUUGCUUUUUGUUGUUGAUAGUGAUGGUAUUGUUGUAUGUUCUUUAAAUGUCUCAGUGUGGGAGAAGCUGGUUGACCACUGCUACUACUAUCCAGUUUGUAUGUAUGUUCUUUUUAUUAAUUAGUUUAUUUCUAGUUUCUUGCCAAUACAGGCAGAACCGGUUUCUAAUCUAGAUUGAAGCCUCUUUUAUUGGAAUUUUAACAACAUCGACAGAGUAGUUUUGUGUAUAAUGUUUAAGUAUUUGGAGUCAAUGCAUGUGUAGAAGGAUCUAGUUGGUUUGGCUGCCAGCAUCACUUCUGUUCAAAUUGAUUCAUAUUCAGUGUAAUGGUACACUUUUAUUGGCCGAUGAAUGAUAUGAAAAUCAAUUUCGCUAUAGAUCAAUAAAUAAAAAGUUAUUAGCAAUUAAAGUUUGAAAGUUUUGGUAAUUUUAGCCAAUUGUAAGCCACAGACACAUUCAUGCCUGUUUCCAUAGAAACAAGUAGAACAUGAGAACUCUUUUGUCUGCGAGAAAGCAUGUAUUGACAAAUACAUUGAAAUCACUUGUUUUACCUAUCUGAUGACAAUUGAGCAUAUGAAUUUAGGUGGCGCAGGAGAUAUGAAAAUUGUGAUUUGUGUGAGAAAUUGAUUGAAUGCAUUUUUAACUUUUGCUUUCAAUGAACUGGUCAACAAAAUGUUUGUUUUUUUAAAAAUAUUUGACUUGUAAAGUACUAUUUUGUUUUUAGAUAAAUCUUUUAAGUUCAUGCUGUUACAUUAAAUUCAUAUUGAAUGCUUCAAACUGCAAAACACAUGUUGUUUACAAAUAUUGACAACAUAUGCUAUUUUCAGGAUGUUGAUGACAAAAUGUGCAGUCAGGCACAAAAUGACAGCUUCCAAAUCCUGUUUCCUAACUAGGUGAAAAUGAUCAAACUUUAAACUUUUAUAACUUUUUAAAAGCAUUUAUCUGGAAAAAGUGAACUAACUCCAGUGAUUCAGCUUGGAAAAGUAUAUUAUUGUGCCAAAUUUUAAAAUUUUCAAUAAACUUUAUCCAACUAGAUCCAUGAAGAACUAUAUGUUUUGUUAUAUAUCCAAAUAGGAGUGGAGGUGGUAAAAUCCAGGCUACAUAUGUUUUCUAGCUAGCAGAAAUAAUAAUUGAUCAACGAAGCGAACUCCACUGGCUACUCAUCAGGCCAAAGAUAGUUUAGUUAUAUGAAAGUUACAUUGUUGUUAAAGAAUCCCAAGUUAACUCACCAGAGAUAUAAUUUGAAAUGAGUGGUGAAGCCAGAAGAAAGAACUAAAAUAACAAAAUAGAAAAAUGUGUUAAGAAAUAAAAUGGUCAGUAAGAGAAAAGAAGGAAGAGGCAAAGAAUUUGGGAAUGAGCAAUUGUCUAAAAUUCUUAAGAAUAAAGAAAAGGAGAUUGGGGAGAAGGGGAAAUUUAGGUUAGAUUGAUGCUGACUUUAGCGGAAGGUCAUUGUGAAUAUUAAGCUGGGUUCACUCUAUUAUGUUAAUGGUAAAUAAAUAUAUUGUUGCAUCCAUUUAGACAGAAAAAAAGAAAAGAAAAGAAUAUUUAGGAGUGAGAAUAAGGUGGAUUUGCUAGGAGAAAGGAAAGGAGGGAGAAGAGAGUGAGAUGGGAGAUUAAGGUUGUAUUCCCCUGUUAUUAGAGGAACAUAACAGUUCGAGUUAAAUUGGUGGCUUGCUACUUAGCAGUAAAACUACACAUUUGCAUACCCAUGCACAUAUGCAUUCAUUUACUGUGCACCUAUAAUAUCCCUAUAGGUGUGCUUGUGCAUGUACAUGACUGCAUAUCUUCACGCAGAGAGAAAGAUUACAGAGUUAAGAAAAUAUAAAGGUAGCUAAUAACAAAAUUUCAUGUUAUAAAUACAAAGAAGAGCUUCAAGUGGAGGGUGGGAAUGCAGGAGGAUUAGUUAUGGAAUAAUUGGGGAGGGCACUAUUAUUUGUAUCUUAAGAAUGUAUUACAUAACUUGUGUUUGCAAUUAAGAAUUAGGUUGCUUCGUUCAUUAUUGCAUUGCAUAGCAGAUAAGACAUCAAUGAUGUAGAGAUUGCAUUAGUUGUUAUAACUGUUAUAUGGUUUGGUAUUGGUAAUGAUGGACCAUUUUAAAUUGUAUAAAACUGAGUUUUGUUUUAGGUUAUGAAUGAGCCUAGAUAAAGAAGUGCUGUUAGUUUUCACUUGAUAUUUAAAGCUAAUAUAGUGGUUACCAACUCUGACUUAGAAGGUUGUGCUGCACAAGCCAAUAUAUACAUAUUUGAAAUCUCCUGUGGAUACCAUAUAUUUAUAUACGAUAUGUUUUGUGAGGCAUCUAUUUUCCAAGGGACAGGUGGUGGGGCAUCUAUAGCUGCAUAGGAUUCUAGAAAGUGUUAAAGUGGAGUUUGCGGAGUUAUGAUUACCUGGGGUUAACCUGGUGUUAUUUGCAGUAUCUGCAGUGGUUUUAGGAUUGAUAUUUUUAUGGGGUAGAGAGGGAUUAUACUGGCAGUGUUGGUUGUGGUAGAGUAAGAGAAUUUAAUAGAUUGGGGGUUGAAGAUUUUCUUCAGAUUACUGGACCUAGAGAAAUAUUUUUCAAGUCGAACAAAGGAACGCUUAGGUACUCUGGUCUGAACAUUAAGGGCAAAGUGGGGGUGAAACCAGAUAACAUUGCAUGUCCUAGUCCACUUAUUCUGUUCUAGGGGGUUACCUGAGUAUGGCUUGGGGUAGGGAGGUGUGGAUUUCAAUGGGCAGUGGCAGAUUUGGGAUCCAGAAUCCCAGGGUGAGAGGAGUGCCUAUUGGGUUUGCAAUUACAGUAAAAUUUGGACAGAUAUGGGAAGGGAGGAAUACAGGGGAUAGUACAGGUUCUAUCUAAUGGGGCAGAUGUAUCUGCAGUCCCAGGUUCAGUGGAAGAAGGAUCACUCCAUAUAAGAAGGGAUCUAAUCAGAUUUUGUUGUAAUAUUCAGCAUAAUGCUUGAAUAUCUCUUUAAUAGUGGAUAGGGAUGAGAUCCUACAAGACACACUGUCACCAAUGGAUUUUAGGACGAGCGGGUUGAUUUGAGGAAAAGUUAACAUAAUUAAAGUUCUCCUGGGGUUUAUAGUAUGGAUAGGUGUUGUUUUGUAAAUCUAGAGUGACAUUUAGGAAAUUAGCAGUUUUAAUAUUAGAAGUGAAAGAGACACUAAGGUUCAUGUUUUUAAAGAAUCUGAUUCUGUUCCUAAAUUGUUCUACCUCACAGCUACUAGAGUCUGGGAUUGCAAACAGAGUGUUGUCCUUAUAUAGACCACUGAAAAUAUUAGGGAAUUGGUCCUGGAGGCAAUGGAGCAGGUAACAACUCACUAAGUGGGUAACUUAAGCUGAGUCACUUUCCUCCAUUGGGGUGUUGUAGUAGUUAGGGGUAUCCUUGCGGGUCCAAAAUUUUCCAUUGCAUUUUAUAGUAGUUAAAUGGAUUGCCAGGAUAAUACUGAUAUCACCUCUAGUCAGGUCAGAUUAUUUUAGUGCAAAUAUGAGGGCUUUGUUAAGUAGGAUAGGAGAUACACUGGAAUAGUAUUGGUGUAUACUUACUUGAAUGAAUUCGUGUUUACUUUUGGGACUUAGAAUUUAAACCAUUGGAUGGUUUCAGUGAUGUUAGUCCAGAGGUUUAGUGUAAUCUUAGAUUGAAGGUGGGGUAGAAUUCUAAUCUAACAUUACUAAUCCUACUUACAUCAGAGCUUGAGGAGCAAAUGAGGCAAACGGAAGGGUUUGCAGCAAAAUUUCCCAUAUUGUCUUUUAAGUUUAUAUGGAGUGGUCAAGGUUUGAAAGGUUUGAAAGCUGAGUUUAAAGACAAGACCUUGAGUUUUGAGGUAGAUAUCUCUCAGGUUCAGGUUGGUACAAUUUGGUAGCUCUUGUGCAGAUGUUUAAGUAUCAAUUGCUUGUAGGUAUCCAGUGGCAUGUUGUAUAGGUCAUUUUAUUAUAUAUAUAUGUGUGUGUAUACCAUACACACAAUUGCAUGUCUAGACAUGUGCAUAUGUACUUCUAUGCUUAACUCUUGGAAAGUUUUAAUGUUUUUUUGACAGUUUCAAUUAAUGGCUUGUAUUUGUAGUCUUCUAAUUAGUUUUCUCCUUUCUAGUUUUGAGGACCCUAAUCUCUCUGGUAGUUGGUUACAUAUCCUAGUGUCCCAAUAAUUACGAAUAUAAAUCUGAACUUGUAAUCCAAGUAGACUAACUGUAAGUUUCUCAGUAGUUCAAUGGAGGUAUUUUCUGUUUUAUGUUGACAUUCACUGGGCAACUGAUUUCCAGUACUGUACAUAGAUUUUCCUCCCUUUUCAAAUCAUUAUGUCUAAUUUAUUAUGUUUGCAUUUUAUUGAGGUUUUCACAAGGGUAUUCUGCUAUUACUCUUUCAUAUCUAUUAUAUAAAAUGCGUUCUGUCUGUCUGUGUGUGUGUCUUCUAGGAUCUCGGGCAUCCCCCAUCUGAUUGUGCUCAAAUUUGAUAUGUAGAUACCGACGGUAUCAGGGCAUGUGUAAGUUUUGAAAAAAUUACAAAAAUUGAUUCCAGGUAAGAAUGCAAUCGAUAAAGCCGUGGGAACGUGCAUUUGUACAUGUAAAUACAUCAUGGAUGACAUUCUCAAGGCAAAAGUUAUCACGGGUCAAGGAGCAGGGAAUGUUGUUUUUAUUUCCUGCAUGCCAUUGAUUCCGUUGGACUGUGUUUACCAGAUGAAAUGCAUUCAAAUCCCUAUUCACCUGAGCUUCGCGAUGACCAUCAACAAAGCGCAGGGGCAGUCAUUGAAAGUCGUGGGAUUGGACCUCAGCACUCCCUGCUUUUCGCACGGACAACUUUAUGUGGGCUGUUUGACAAACCUUUUCUACUACGCUCUAGACAGGGUAACAAGGAAUGUGGUUUACAAGGCUGUGCUCCACUAGCUUUUCCAUGCCCUUGAACAUCCCGUAAAAUAAGUUAACUUAAAAUUAGUUACUUAGUUCCUUAGGUUGUUGCUUUUCAUAAAAAAUCACCCCAAGUUGAUUUCCUAUAUGUUUUAUUGGAUAAACUUAUUAUUGUCCCAGGUACGUUUUCAUAAAUUCAUCAUCCUUUUCCAUCUAGAUUUGCCUCCAGCUAACCCAUUUGCAUGCAUUGUUUUUGUCUUGCUUUUCUUCCGUCAACCUGUACAUAACUGCACCUUCUAUUUUUGUUGUUUUUGUACUGCUUAAAGGCACAUUUCUUUCUUGCAAAGCUUACUGUUUAAACCAUGUUUGUGUUCUCCCAGUCAACAGCCUUAUCAUUUACUGGUACUUUAAACUCUUCGGUUGCAUAUUUGUGUGAAUAAAAUCGUUUUUCUUUGGAAUAGAAAAAAGUCUAUCUUUAUUUCUUCUUUUGCUGGUGUCUCAAAUUUAGAUUAAAUCAGUGUUUCUCAAAGGGGAGGCUAUGGGAUGGUUGAACAAGUUGUUUUGAGAAAAUUUGGUUUAAAUGUUUGACAACUCAGCACCAUCCAUAUAUUUUGCUCGUAUAUAUAUAUAUAUAUAUAUAUAGGCUACUUUCAAGCCUUCGCCAUAACUUGAUUUAUCUUUCCUAUCUCUCUCUCUCUACGAAAUUUAACCUUAGGCUACCUCAAGCCGUAAUCCCAUCUUUUCCCAUCUUUCCGCCAUUGGCGGUCUUUCCUCCUCUUCUUCUUCUUAUGCUAAAACUUGAAAAUCGCCAUUACCAUUACGAUUCUGCAAUUUAAAUUCCCAAUUCAACUUACUUUCUUCUUCAAUUUCAACUCCCGGUCGAUGCCCACAGCAAGUUCUUAAAAAAUUUAUCUUACUAUUUUUAUUCGUUGUUACUACGUUUAUUCAUACAUUGAUAACUUGAUUCGUCUUACCCAUCGAAAAUUUACGAAAAUUUAACCUUUUAGGCUACUUUCAAGCCUUCGCCAUAACUUGAUUUAUCUUUCCUAUCUCUCUCUCUCUACGAAAUUUAACCUUAGGCUACCUCAAGCCGUAAUCCCAUCUUUUCCCAUCUUUCCGCCAUUGGCGGUCUUUCCUCCUCUUCUUCUUCUUAUGCUAAAACUUGAAAAUCGCCAUUACCAUUACGAUUCUGCAAUUUAAAUUCCCAAUUCAACUUACUUUCUUCUUCAAUUUCAACUCCCGGUCGAUGCCCGCAGCAAGUUCUUAAAAAAUUUAUCGUACUAUUUUUAUUCGUUGUUACUACGUUUAUUCAUACAUUGAUAACUUGAUUCGUCUUACCCAUCGAAAAUUUACGAAAAUUUAACCUUUUAGGCUACUUUCAAGCCUUCGCCAUAACUUGAUUUAUCUUUCCUAUCUCUCUCUCUCACGAAAUUUAACCUUAGGCUACCUCAAGCCGUAAUCCCAUCUUUUCCCAUCUUUCCGCCAUUGGCGGUCUUUCCUCCUCUUCUUCUUCUUAUGCUAAAACUUGAAAAUCGCCAUUACCAUUACGAUUCUGCAAUUUAAAUUCCCAAUUCAACUUACUUUCUUCUUCAAUUUCAACUCCCGGUCGAUGCCCGCAGCAAGUUCUUAAAAAAUUUAUCUUACUAUUUUUAUUCGUUGUUACUACGUUUAUUCAUACAUUGAUAACUUGAUUCGUCUUACCCAUCGAAAAUUUACGAAAAUUUAACCUUUUAGGCUACUUUCAAGCCUUCGCCAUAACUUGAUUUAUCUUUCCUAUCUCUCUCUCUCUACGAAAUUUAACCUUAGGCUACCUCAAGCUGUAAUCCCAUCUUUUCCCAUCUUUCCGCCAUUGGCGGUCUUUCCUCCUCUUCUUCUUCUUAUGCUAAAACUUGAAAAUCGCCAUUACCAUUACGAUUCUGCAAUUUAAAUUCCCAAUUCAACUUACUUUCUUCUUCAAUUUCAACUCCCGGUCGAUGCCCGCAGCAAGUUCUUAAAAAAUUUAUCUUACUAUUUUUAUUCGUUGUUACUACGUUUAUUCAUACAUUGAUAACUUGAUUCGUCUUACCCAUCGAAAAUUUACGAAAAUUUAACCUUUUAGGCUACUUUCAAGCCUUCACCAUAACUUGAUUUAUCUUUCCUAUCUCUCUCUCUCUACGAAAUUUAACCUUAGGCUACCUCAAGCCGUAAUCCCAUCUUUUCCCAUCUUUCCGCCAUUGGCGGUGCGAUCGCCCCCCCCCCCCACCACCAAUACCGAUGAACACUGUUCUCACCCCCACCACCAAUACCGGUGAACACUGUUCUCACCACCAAUACCGGUGAACACUGUUCUCACCGCCACCACCAAUACCGGUGAACACUGUUCUCACCCCCACCACCAAUACCAGUAUACCCUGUUCUCACCAUCUACACCGGAUACGCCCUACUCAUCUACACCGGAUACGCCCUACUCCCUCCUCCUCCCCCCACUACCCCUUCUCCUCAUAUGCUUUCACUGUGAAAAGACAAGCUGCUAGCGCCAUAGCUCAUCAACUGCCCACCGAUCUUACGCUUCCUCCUGACACUGCCUCAAUCCGACCAUCCCCUUUUAGUACCCUCCCGCCUCGUAAUAUCCUACGUUUUUAUUUCUUAGGAACCUACACCAACCCUUCGGCCAUCGUUCCUCCUUACCCCAACCUUCCCCACUGGUUGCUCCCCUAUAUUACCCGCCUCAACUGGACCCCCCUCCCCAACUCAACUCUAGAAUAUCUGUAUUUCUUUCCUCUACCUAAUUACGUUACUCAGUGACGAUAACGAAUGUCCACUGCUAACACCAGCUCCUGCCCACGGCGUGGUCAGGUUGGAAGAGAGAUCAAAAGAAAAAUACCACGAAAACUAUCACCACCACUACAACCCUCCUCUUCUCAGGCGCCGAAUCCCCCCGUCCCCCCCACAUCUCCUUCCCAGUUUUCAGAGUUGGCACUAUCAAUGUCGGUACAUUGACAGGCAAGUCUAGUGAGAUUGUAGAGAUGCUAGAGAGAAGACAGGUUGAUGUAUGCUGCAUACAAGAGGUAAGAUGGAGAGAUGCUUCGGCUAGGGUCCUCACGGGCAAGGCACUUAGGUACAAACUCUACUGGCAAGGUAACGCGGAAGGUGUAGGGGGUGUAGGCAUUCUCCUUGCGGAGGAAUGGGUGGAUAAGGUCAUAGAGGUUGUCAGGGUUUGUGAUAGAGUGCUUAAGCUCAGGUUGGUCCUACAGAGUGGCACAGCUAUGAUUAUCUCAGCCUAUGCCCCACAAGCGGGACUACCAAAUGAUCAGAAGGACAACUUUUAUGAUACCCUUCUGCAGGCUACUUCAAAGACUAGUAACAAGGACCUCAUCUUUGUAGGUGGAGAUUUAAUGGGCAUGUUGGGCGGGAAUCGGGUAUCUUCACUGGGGUACAUGGUGGCUAUGGUAUUGGCACCAGAAAUGAUGAGGGAACUAGACUGCUGGAAUUCUGUGAUGCAUGUAACCUUUCAAUCUGCAACACUAACUUCAAGAAGCCAGUCUGCCACCUUAUAACUUAUCAGUCAGGAGACUCCGCUAGCCAAAUAGACUUCAUCCUCACCAGACAACGGGAUGCAGGGUUGCUCUUGAAUACAAAGACCCUCCCGGGUGAAGAAUGUAUCCCUCAGCAUAGACUAAUCAUCAGUGACUUUAAGCUUGAGGCCAGAAGGACUCCAAGAAACAAACCAAUCCAGAAAAGAAGGAUUUGGAGGCUAAAGAACCCUUCGCAUGGUCAGAAAUUUAGGGACAUACUCAUCAAGAAAUUUGAUGAGAGGGAAGAGGAGCUUCAGACGUCAGACAUAGAAGGUAGCUGGGAAUUCCUACGGGACAGCUUGUUGAGUGCCACAGACCAAGUUUGUGGAAGGUGCAAAGUCCCUUCCAGACCUAGAAUUACGUGGUGGUGGAAUAGUGCAGUAGAUGAAGCCAUCUGUGAAAAGAGACGGGCCUGGAAAGCCUGGAAGGAUGGGGGCAGCAGGGAACUGUACCAGAUAGCCAAAAGGGAGGCUGGGCGGCAGGUAUACAUUGCCAAAGAUGUAGCAGAAAAGAAGAAGUUUGCCAAUGUCCAGCGUCGCGAGGAUCAAAGAGCUGAAGUAUUUCGGAUUGCCAGACAGUGUGUCAGAGAAAAUAGCGAUGUUAUAGGAGAGAAAUGUGUCCGCAUGGAUGAUGGGGCACUUGCUUUUACUACUAGUGAAAAGAAAGAGGCUUGGAGAAGCCAUUAUGAAAAACUGCUGAAUGAGGAGAAUGAAUGGGAGGAGGAGAGCCUGCCAAAUGUUGACCCAGUAGAGGGACCAGCUACCCGAAUAGACAGCUCCCUUGUAGAUAAGGCAAUUAAGGAUAUGAAACCAGGCAAAGCCCCUGGCCUAUCAGGAAUCACUGCUGAGAUGCUUAAAACAGCUGGCUAUGUGGGCCAUGCCAUAGUCACCCGCAUUGUAAACCAGGUAGUUCACAAUGGAGCCAUACCCAAUGACUGGUGCAGCAGCACCAUAGUCAACUGCUACAAGGGUAAGGGUGAUGCUCUAGAUAGAAAUAACUACAGAGGUAUCAAACUGUUGGACCAGGUGAUGAAGGUCUCAGAGAAGGUCAUAACCAAUCUCAUUAGGGAGAGAAUUUGUUUAGAUGAAAUGCAGUUCGGUUUUGUACCAGGUAGAAGCACCACUGAUGCUAUAUUCCUGGUCCGACAACUGCAGGAGAAGUACCUAGCUAAAGAUAAACCCCUCUACAUAGCUUUUGUAGACUUGGAGAAAGCCUUUGACAGGGUUCCCCGUUCCCUUAUCUGGUGGUCGAUGCGGAAACUGGAGAUUGAAGAAUGGCUAAUAAGGGCUGUAUAGGCUCUAUACAGAGAGGCUGUCAGCAAGGUUAGGAUUGGCAACGAAUAUAGUGAAGAAUUCCGAGUAGAAGUAGGUGUGCACCAGGGCUCAGCCCUCAGUCCCCUUUUAUUCAUCAUAGUCCUUCAGGCAAUAACAGAGGAAUUCAAAACGGGAUGCCCCUGGGAGCUCCUCUAUGCCGAUGACCUAGCUCUCAUAGCAGAAUCACUACCGGAACUAGAAGAGAAAUUUCGGGUGUGGAAGCAAGGGUUGGAAUCAAAGGGCCUUAGAAUAAAUGUAGCAAAGACCAAAGUAUUAGUAAGCAGCAAGAGGUACUCAGCACACAUCCCCUCGGGUAGGUGGCCCUGCUCAACCUGUAGGAAAGGUACAGGUAGAAACUCCAUAAGAUGCACUCAAUGUAAGUUAUGGACACAUAAGAGGUGCAGCAACAUUAAAGGGAAAUUAACAGAUAAGAUAGCUUUCAUGUGCGGCAGAUGCACAGGGACAAUAGACACAACAGACACUCAGAAAACAGAUUCCAUCACACUCCAGGGAGAGAAACUAGAAGUAGUUGAUAGUUUCCGCUACCUGGGAGACCAAGUUAGUAGCGGAGGUGGAUGCACAGAGAGUAUCACCACUAGAAUACGAAUAGCCUGGGCAAAGUUCAGAAAGCUCCUACCCCUACUGGCAACAAAAGGUCUCUCCCUCAGAGCAAAAGGUAGAUUGUAUGAUGCAUGUGUGCGAACUGCCAUGCUUCACGGUAAUGAAACAUGGGCUGUGACUGCAGAAGACAUGCGUAGACUUGAAAGAAAUGAAGCUAGCAUGAUCCGCUGGAUGUGUAGUGUCAGUGUGCACGCAAAACAGAGUGUAAGUAUCCUGAGAGAAAUGCUGGAUAUAAGAAGCAUCAGAUGUGGUGUGCAAGAGCGACGCUUGCGAUGGUAUGGUCAUGUGCUGCGGAUGGAUGAAGAGAGAUGUGUGAAGAAGUGCCACUCCCAAACAGUUGAAGGUAUCAGGGGGAGAGGUAGACCCAGGAAGACAUGGGAUGAGGUGGUCAAGCAUGACCUCAGAGCAUUGGGCCUCACUGAGGCAAUGGCGAAGGACCGAGAUCUCUGGAGAUAUGCUGUGACUACAAAGACCCGGGCUGCUUUCUGCAGUAAUUCCACAUACCCCCUACCCAUUCUAAGUACCCCGGAUCCCCAAAGUACCCUGGAUCCCCAAAGUACCCCGAUCCCCAAAGUACCCCGGACCUCGUUGCCCCCAUGCCGCUGACACGUUAAAAUGCUCGAACCGAUCGUGACGAUGCCGGACCCUCCGGCCCCUGUGCAGGUGGCACGUAAAAAGCACCCAAUCCACUCACGGAGUGGUUGGCGUUAGGAAGGGCAUCCAGCCGUAGAAACUCUGCCAGAUUCAGACUGGAGCCUGGAGCGGCCCCUGGCUUCCCAGACCCGGUCAAACCGUCCAACCCGUGCUAGCGCGGAAAGCGGACGUUAAACGAUGAUGAUGAUAUAUAUAUAUAUGAGUAGUUAUGAUCUCUAUCACAUUGUCCAGUGCCUUGGAUAAAAGUAUGAUGACAUUUUCAGACAACUGCUUAUGGUAGGCCACUGUCCCUUUUGUGCAUGAAGAAUUUGGUAGGUAUUUUUUAUUCCUGGAUUGCAAAUGUAUGCCCUUCAAAGUGAGAGUUAGGGAUCUGGUUGUUGGUCCAUGAUUGUUGGUCCAUAUUGCUGUCAUCCUGGAGCUUUCUGCUAACAAUUCUGUGCAUGAUCUGCUGAUUUGUACUCAUCCUUUCAUCUAAUGAUUUGUUGCUGUUUGAGUCAUGCAACUUUUUUGGGCAUGUAUUUGAGAUUAACAGACUGGGAAUAUUUCUUGAGGAGCUGCUUUCCAAAUCUCAUGAAGUUAUCUACCUCAUGUAUGGCAACUUUAUCAAUAGAUGUACUUUGUCACUUGGUGGUAAAAGCUAUUGGCAAAGGGAUAUGAUGUGGCAUUCAGAAGCUGUCUGAAUCGAUGUUUAACCUCUGCUUCUUCGUUCUUGUUUUAGGUAUAGGCGGUCUAUGUCACUAUUGACGUGAAAAUUAUUUGUGCUGGUUUGUAUCUUUUAGGUUUUCACAUCAGUGGUUUGGAGCUUAUCAAGUAGCCCAAAUGUUGGUAUAAAUACUGGUAUUACAAACACAUUUUAUUGUAUGCUGAGAGUUCUAAGGUCCAUAUUUUUCUUAUCCAGUUGUUGUAUUCCUUCGUGAUGCAUUCCUUGUUACAGGUACCAUCGUAAGAUAUGUUUUUAUCUAUCCCUAGGUACCUGUAACAUUCCUCAUCAGAUACAGGAGAAACAUUCAAUUCAUUGAUGGAGAUGCUGGUAGUUUGGUUCACAGUUUUCCCUUGUUUCACAACCAUAUAGGAAUAUCUAUCCUGACCAAGUUCUAACCCUAUAUCCUUUGAGAAUGUUGUAAUGAAGUCAAGGCUCUUUUUCUUAUCAAUCAUUUCUGUGGCGUAUAGCUUCAAGUUAUCUUCAAAGAAGCAGUGUGUAAUCUUUGUAUUUUUUUUCUCUAUGAACCAGUAAGAUACCCUUCAAACUUCCUCAACAUGAAUGACAAGUGGUUUAUUGAAAAUAUGGACAUCAUUGCAGGAGACUGUCUCUUUGGAAUAGACUUUUGUGAUACUAUAUUUUAUCUCUCAUUGUAUUUAACUUUAGAUGAAACGAGGUCAGUUAUGGCUUUGACUAUGUUCUCUGGAACUUUAGUGAGUCAAAGGACUCCUAGCAUCCUUGAAUGGGAAACAUAGUCAAAAGCUUUCUUAUAGUCCAACUACAUUGAAGUCAGGUUCCUCCUAUGCUGCCACACAUCUGACAUUACAGUUUUAUUUAUCAGCUAUUACUUAGUACAUAAAGCUUAAGUUAUUUUUUCAUGAAAUAUAUAAUUGAGGACAUUUUUCACCUGUAUUUAUCCCUAAUAAUUGCUGCAAUGAUCAUUAAGGUUGUACCUGGUGUUUAUUACAGUGGUAAUAGUUGCCUUAGCUUGUAAUGUAGUCCAGCUAACAGGCAAUAUAAUGUCUGUAGGAAUGUCUUUGACUGAAGUCUUCAUGGUAUUCUAACAUUGUUCACACUUUUGUUUAUACUGUUUGGCAUACAAUUUCAUCUCUUCUUUGGAUUAAGUUACAUUCAUUAACAUUCUUCCCAUAUUCAAGAAAUGUUUGUUGUUGGCAUUAUAUUUUUGCCAUAAAAUCUUUUACCAUUGGAAGCAGAUUGUCCUAGUAUGCUAUGCUCUUUUAUAAUGAUUAGCAGUUAUAUAAAUCAUUAUUGAGCUCAUAAUUUUGAAGAAAAUGCAUUUUAUAUUUACAGUUUCUUCUAUUGCUACAAUCUAUUGCUACAACUAAAAGAAAAUCUGUUUACUUUUUACAAUGUUAAUUUCUGUUUUGUAACUGUUGUUGUUGAUGCAGCACGUUCAGCCAUUUUAAGUUUGAGACAAAAAUUCAACUUGAAAUAACAGCACCUUCAGUCAAUUCAUUUGAAGAUUCAGCAGUUAUUUAACAGGGUUGAUAGUUGUGGAUUCAAAAUUGGACACAAUAUUCAAAGUUCUUUUUGAUGAGUCGUCUCCCACACCAAAUAUGCAACUUGUUGCUUUGUAUGUAUGUUCAUAUGCAUGCAUGCAUGCCUGCAUCCAUCAAUGCCUGCUUUCCUACCCACCUAUCUGUUUCAUUUGUUUUCUCUUUCUGUUCUAUUUUUAAUUAUUUGAAGCCUUCCUGUAAGGGAAAGAACUGUUUCUAACAAUGGUACAAAGUUCCAUAGUUGGAAUGUAGGUAACAAAAAUAAAUUUACAUUUUGAACUUGCAAAAAGUCUUGUAUAUUUUUACUGUUCUACUUACAAAUAGUAUUUCAAAUGUGUGAGUUAAUUGACUGAUUUCUUUUUCUGAAAACUCUAACUUAUCUACAUUAUCACCUAGGCAUUUACUCAUGAAUUUAUAAUCUGAGUAUCGAAGUUCGAC